RNAcentral lists this long non-coding RNA (60942 nucleotides) under Solanum tuberosum (potato). RNAcentral's name for it is "long non-coding RNA (STUB_LNC008928)". The record is from RNAcentral. Lineage: Eukaryota; Viridiplantae; Streptophyta; Magnoliopsida; Solanales; Solanaceae.
GUGAAUAAAUUUUGGACACUCCUUACUUGCAGUGUUUUAAGGUACAUCAUGACUUUUUAUACAAAUGGAAAUUACAGGGCUGCUCUGUUUGGUCUGCAAAUCAUGCGAGUUGGUGCAAGGUUAGUUAAAAUCCAAAGACAUAUCAUUCACCUCUAUGAUGUUCUUGAUCUUAGCUAUAUUGUCCUCCAAAAGUUUGUUUCCUUCACUAAGCGACUUAGUAUUUUUUUUGUAAGUAUUGAAUUUGGUCAAUAUUUUGACAAGAUGACCUCCGUUAGUUAUUUCAUCGAUUUCGUUGAGUCUGAAAAGUCAUAUUAAAUUGGGUCGCAUAGUUUGUUUGCGUCGAUGAAAUUCUGAACGAUUUUUGAGCCACCAUCGUGGGAUUUCUCACUUUUAGUGAACUACUGAUGUAGUGUUGCUGGUGCAACACUGUUCCCUUCUUCGCGUUCGCAAAGAGUAAACUUCGUGGUCUCCGCGUUCACGAGUCUCUUACUGCAUUCAAAGGGUUAGCUCCCUAGGCCUUUACGUUCGUGUUCUUCUCGUCGCGUUUGCAAAUGGUUAAUUCCUUGACAGUAAUAAGAAUUUAUACUCGUUUUAGGAAUGCAUUUGUUCAUUUUAAGACUUAGUAUUUUGGCGAUUUGGAGAGAAAUUAUUGACAGAUUUGCGUGAUUCUUGUUGAGUUGUGUUGGGGAAUCGCAUGGACACGUUCCGAGGUGGUUGAAUCUUUAACUAACCUUGGUAAUUUCCAUAAAUUUCUCUUUGAUUCAGCUUUUUGAUCCUUGUUGAGUUAAUUUUUGGAGGGACUGUUUUGGCUCAAUGGUGGCUCGGAUUGUACCCAUUUUCGGGGCACAACUUUCUUGAGCAGUUUGGGACCUCCUAACGAAGUCAAUUUUAUGACUCUGUGUGGGGGUUCCACAGUUGCGUUUUUGGGUUUGUAUUUGCAAGUUCAAAUUAUCAAUAUUAAUAUGGAUAUUGUUGUGCUUGUUUUUGCGUUCCCAUCGAGUUGUUGAUAGCUUGAAAACAUUUCGAGGCUCUUCGAAAGGGAAAAACACCAGAGUAGUCAUUCGUGUGCGAUUUCGGUCUAGAGGUAGGUUAUGAUUUCUCUUUUUUAGACUUUUCUUAGCUUGAUUAUGUAUGUUUUGAAUAGUUGAUAGUUAUAAAUGCUUUAGGAUUAGUUAGUAGGUGUAUUUUACCUUUAGUGAGAUUUAUUUGUCAUUUCAGAUUAUUUAGUUUAGUAUUUUAGUCGAUAAGUCUUAGUUUAGGUUGUGUCUUGGAUUGAUUGUGGUUUAGAUCCUUAGAAUGCUCUUAGGUAGUCUGGAAAUUAGUUGGUAUGCCCAUUGAUUGCUUGUUUAUUUUUUUUGUGUGUGUGUGUCUUUUUUGAGUUAUGUUUCGAGUUUAUCGCUUUAUUGAUUGAACUGUUGGGACUGAGUCCUUGGGCUUGGACUAGCUAGAGUUCCAAAUUAGUACGACUAUCUUAUGACGAGUGUCUACCCGGUUGUGUGUUGUAUGAAUUGAUCUGUGAGAAUGUUUGGGUUGUGGUGGCAUGAAAUCAUGUUCAUGGCAUAUUGAUAACAUAAUUGCAUUUGAUUUUAGAAAGAAAAGAGGUUCUUGAAUACUUACUAUAUUUUCUACUGAAUUUAGAUUCGAGGGAGCAGGAUUAUUGAUUUUCAUUGAUUUUACUGAUAGAGAGAAAAUGUAUCAUUUUUGUCUUAUUAGACAUAUGUUCAUAAGCUCCAACAGCCUGCAGAUUGAAUUUCGUAUUUUUGUUACUAUUAUUACAUUUGUAGUUGAGUUGAGGCGGGUUCUGUAGUUAUCUUGGGGGUCCACAGAAUAGCCGAUGAGAUAAUUUCGAUACCUUUUUACUUUAAACAUGCAUUGGCACAUGUGCAUAUCAUUUCAUUGUUUGAUUGAUUGUCGUGUGGUAAAGUUGUUGUUGCCUUCCGUGCCGAUAGUUUUGGUUACUUUUAGCCUUAUUACCAGACUCCUGUUAGAACUAUCAUGUUGCUUAUUAUAUAUAUAUUAUCUUUCUGAGCUCGACCAGUCUGUCAUGUCUACUGAGUAUCCCGUAUUUUGAUACUCAUAUUACACUUUUGCUUCUUUUUCUGAUGCAGAUCUUAGUACGAGCCACCCCAAGUGAGCAUUAGAUCUCCCUUGGCUGUCACAGAUAUGGAUCGUGCUGAGCUCUUAGCGUUCAGAGACUUUUUGCUUUCCCUCUUUUGCACUGACUUGUAUUAUGUAUCUUGAUUGGUCAGUUCUUUUGUAUAUAUAGCUUUUCUGUACUUAGUAGCUUCUGUAUCAGUGACAUUAGGUCUCGUAUUAGUUUUCCUUCUUGGUCACUUUUGGGCUUCUUUUGUAUAUUUUGUAUCAUACUUACAGAUCUAUACUAUGGCAUGUUUCCAUAUAUAAUCCAUGUUUCCGUUUAUUCUUAGUUAUUAUUAGUUAAAUUGUUAUCUUCCUCAGCUUUUGGUUUGGGUUUUGGCUUGCUUACUCGGGGUUUAUAAGCGCCAUCAUGACCCGAUUUUGGGUCGUGACAACAUCUUAAUAUUUUUGCUUGGUCAAUAAACUUUUGUUUGGCCAUAAAUUUUGAAGUUGAAAUUUAAAAAUUUAAGUUUUUGAAGUUGUGUCUGAAUUUGUAAUUUACUUGAUUUUUAUUGGGAAAAUACAUAAAAAACCCCCUGAACUUGGCACGAAAACUUACUUUAAUACUUCAACUACACGGGUGUUUAUAUACCCCCCUAAUCUCAUUUAAAGUGAAUAAAUACCCCCCUAAGAAUACAAAACCAGUCUCACAGUGGCAAGUAUAUUACACACGCGCCAAGUCAUUGCCAUAUCAACGCCACAUCAUUGCCACGUCAGAAUCGUGUUGGAAAUCAGUUUUAAAAAUUUAUUUUUUUCCUUCCCUUCUUCUUCUCUCUCCCAUGUUAGAAAUCAAUUUUUAAAAUUUAAUUUGUUUUUCCCUUCUCUCUCCAAUGGAUGCACUACCUUCCACCUCCAUUAGUGUUUUCUCAUUUCUUGCUUGAUUAUCAUUAAUUUUCACUAAUGACUUCUCUAUUUUCAACCUCAAUAUCUUCUAACAAUUUCACUAAUUUCUUUUGAGAAAAUUCUCAUACAUUUUCUAUCAAUAUCCAUUGAUGUGAGAUUGCAACAAAUAUGGACCUACAUUGAAUUUUUUAUCGAUGUAUUGCUCUCUUUGGUAUUUGAGGACAAAUAAAUCAACUGAAAAUGUAGAUGAAUUCGACCCUUUAGUAAAAAAAAUAAAAAAAUCCUUUCCAAUAUUCCAUCUUCAAAAACCCUUAUUUUUUCAUGACAUACAACAAUCAUAAUUUUUGAAAUCAUAAAAAUGUGUUAUGAAAUUUUCUUUUGUUUGACAGAAAUCUCAAGUUUGAUCGGAACGAAGUUUAAUGAUUUUUCUCUCUUUAGUAGAUCUGAAAACAAAAAAAAAAAGAUGAAGAUUAAGAUGCAGGUGAGGUAGGGUACAAUGGGGGUGUUCGAAGAAGGAAAAAGGGCGAGAGGUAGGGUACAAUGGGGCUGUUCGAAGAAGGAGAAAGGGCGAGAUAAGGGGGUUCAAAAUAAGUGAAAAGGGCUGCGGGGGGGGGGGGGGGGUCCAUUAUGCCACGUCCGCAUUAAGGGGGGUAUUUAUUCACUUUAAAUGAGAUUAGGGUGGUAUAUAAACACCCGUGUAGUUGAAGUAUUAAAGUAAGUUUUCGUGCCAAGUUCAGGGGGGUUUUUAUGUAUUUUCCCAUUUUUAUUUGAAGUUUUGUGAGUGAAAAGUACAAUCAGAUCAGAUUUGAGAACUUGAUAAUAUUUGAAGAAUCUGAUCAAAUUUCAUGAUCAAACAUUUUUUUUACGAUAAAUUUUUAAAAUCGAUCUGAAAUCUCUAAUCAAACGCUAGCUCAGGUUACUUUCAUAAAGUUAUAAGUAAAUGAAUUUUGAAUUUAAGUCAACUUUAAAAGUUAGUCAUGAAGAAAGAAUUGCCCAAGAGGCUAAGAUCAAGGAUAUCAAGUGUUAAUUAACACACCGAGAUCUAGGCUUCAUUUCAUUGCGAUGGUUAAUGAUCUUCCAUGUUAAAUAUUAUUAGUCAAAUUAGUUUUCUAAAAUAUAAUUAACGAAAAAGGUCAUAUUUGUCCUUGUACUCUCACAAAUAAGUCAUAUUUACCCUUAGUUAUACUUUUCAACAUAUUUACCCUUUUCAUACAAAUUUAGGGUCAUAUUUGCCCUUAUAAUCUUUAACAGAGUCAUAUUUACCCCUACGAUAUUAACUCCUCAUGUCAUCAAUAUAUUUAUUUUUGUACUCUAAAAAAUGAUUAUAUUUGUCAUUAUACUCUUAAAAAAGGUUAUAUUUACCCCAAUAACAUUAAAUUCGCAUGUCCUCAAACAUAUUUGGAUAGAAUGGAAUGGAAUAGAGUGGUUGAAGAAUCCUACCUAUCUCAUUGGGAAAUGGACAGAAUAGCAAUGAGAAUCGACAACUCAAUUAAAACCAUUGCCCUCCAUUUAAGCUACGCCAAACCUAAUUUUCUUUGACCAACAAUAUUAUAUAUAUAUGUCUAUCAUUGAAAAGUGUAACAUAUUGACAAAAUAACAAAAUAGGGUUUGUUUUUUAUUCUGCAGCCUUGCUUGUCACGUUGUUUAAAAAAUAAAGAAAUGCCAAAGAUCUAAAAUUAAUAGUAAUAAAGAAAGAGGAAAAUAACAAUAAUAUCCUACUUCACAUUGUUUAUAACGAUUGUAAGUACAAAACCAAAAGAUUAGAAUAAUCAAGUCACGUUAACAUCCUUUGACCACAAGAGAAAGGGAAGGAUUUAUAAGUUAAAAUUCCUCUUUACAAGGUAUUUUUUUACUAUUAAACUUGGGAUUAAGAAAUAGAUAUGGAUGAAAAAAACAAAAAUUGGGCAGUGAAAAUGGUUGAUAGAUGAGCCAAUUUUCUCCUUUUCAUAUAAGAAAACAUAAAAAGGAGUAGUCCUAAUAAAAUAAAAAUGCCAACUCUCAACUCAACACUUUUGUCUUAAAACGGACUAUUCUUCACAUUAGUUGGAGGAGUGACGUUGUCUCAAUCUACUAACUCCCUAGCUCACUUCUAUAUUAGUUUGUUUUUCUCGUUCGAUAUUAGAUAUUUGCAUCAUAGUUCAACUAAUUUAGAUUUAUGUGGCGUCGAUAGAGCCUCAUUCGGGGGUUGCACUGUCUAUCAAGAAUUUUUCCAUACUUAAGACUCGAAUCUGAAACAUCUAAUUAAGAGAGGAACAAUUCCUUCUACUGCACUACAUCCUAUGAUGGUAUUCUAUAUUAUUAAAAUUAGGUCUAAGUCAUCUGCAACCCCUUAAAGUUGUCUGCAUAUUUCACAUAGACACCUCAACUAUGACUAUUACCUAUUGAACACCUAAAUAUUUCAAAAAGUAUACUUAUUAAACACAAAACUUGAUGUGGCAAACAAAGUGUUUUUCACUUCAGCUGAGCGCGUGAAAAAACCUUAAAUAUUAUUUUAUUUUUAUUUUUUCAAAAAAAACUUAAUACUUUUUACCACUUGGCAUUUAAAUAGUUUAAUUUUUUUAAAAAUAAUUUAAAAGUAAUACUAAUUCUUAAAACAAAAACAAAACAGAAAAAAAGCCCCCCACCCCCACCCCUUUCAAGUCGUCUUCUUCACCAAAGAAGCCCUGUUUUUUUUUUUUUUUUUUCUAUUCUAUCUCUUUUCAAUAUUUAUUAAAAACAAUAAAAAAUGAAUCGACUAGUUGAAUUUGAAGGAAAAAAGAAGAGAGAACAUCAGGCUGAAAAAAAUUAGCCGAUCGACGUCCAUCUCGGUCACCUUCGAACAAUAUUACCAUUCAAAUUAAAAUGUAAACCCAUUAAAAUUAUCAAAAAUAAUAUCAGAUUGAUUCAUAAAAUAAUUUAGGUCCUCUCGAUUUCUCUUUGCUAUCGAUUGAAAGACUCUCUUUCUUCAUCACUCUUGUAUCAGUCUCUUUGAAUACCUUUUUCUCUCACGUAUUAGGAAUAAAAAAUAAUUAUAAAAGCAAUUAACAAAUAUAUUGAAUUUUAUCGUUUGAGAAAAAAAAUUGUUAGGAAGAAGAUGAAGAAGAAAAGGGGCUGGGUAGGGUUGAACUUCUCAUUUAUUUUUUAAAAAAAAUUAGAUGGAAAAAUUUAUUUGAAAUAAUUUUCAUUCUUUUUAACAUAAUUUUUUUUCCUAUAAUUGUUGGACCCUACGCCACAUGUUAUCUUUUAAAUAGUCAUUUUGCCACAUCACAUCAAGUGCAUUACACACACUUUAUUUUUUUUACUUAUUAUCGGAAAAUAUUUAAUAGGAACAAGUUUUGAAUAGAUAAAAGUGUUUAAUAGGUACUAGCCUUAGUUGAAGUGUCUAAGUGAAUUGUGCGGACAACUUUAAGGGGCCGCAGAUGACUUAAGUCUUAAAAUUAUUUAGUCACAAAAUACAUAUGUAUUUAUAAAGUUAAUUAACUUUUUUUCAUUUUGCCGUAAAAUAAAUAAUAAUAUUGAUUAUAUUGAAAAAAUAAGAAUAAAAUAGUAUAUGAAAUUUUUAUUUAUGAUUUUUAAAGAGGGUGUGAAAGAGAAAUGAGAGAAUUAAUAUGAGAUAGAGAGAGUAAUAUAGUACUCCCUCCGUCCCAUUUUAUGUGGCAACAUUUGACCGGGCACGGAGUUUAAGAAAUAAAUGAAGACUUUGAAAUGUUUACCAAAUUGCCCUUUAAAAAGUAGACUCUUUUUUCUCUCUCCUCAUAAAUGUAUUGGAGUAUUAUUUUAAGAUUAAGUGGGACUAACAAGGAUAAAAGAGGAAUUGUAUCUUUAUAAACUUACCAUAUAAGGAAAUGUGACAUUCUUUUUGGAACUGACCAAAAAGGAAAUGUUGUCACAUAAAAUGGGACAGAGGGAGUAGUACUUUGAUUAAUGUCAUUAAUUGACUUUACCCUAAAGAUUAAUAGUUUAAUGAUUUGAAUAUUGUAAUGAAAGUUUUAAAAUAAUACUCAAAAGAUGACUUUGUGUCUUGAACAAAGGGAUUUCAGUUAUCGGGGAUUGGUUUUUAUGAAGUGUGGCGUGAAUGGCGCGCUGUCCCAACUCUUUCAUUAAUACCUCCGAAUGUGUCUAUUUACUUAUUCAUUUUUGACUUGACACACAUAAGAAUAUAAUAAUGGAUAUGAGUUUACUAUUUUACCUCUAUUAAUUGAUAGAAUUUCAAAAUCGAUUUACUCGUUAAAGAGGUUUUAUUUUUUUCAAAAAUAUUAACUAUCUAAAUAAAUUGAGUGUAUAAUAGAUAAAAAUAAUAAUUCUUGAUUUGUCAAAAAUUGCAAGUAAAAAGUCAAAAUUGGACAAAUAAAAAGGAACAUGGGAGUAGUAGUAGUGAAAAACUCCACUGCUCUUCCAUUAACCAAUGUAUUUACCCCUCUGGUGGUUGGUUGGAAUUAUUUAUAAGGUAAUGCUAAAUGGCCAGAAAUUUAAAAAAUUUAUAAUAUCUUUUUUAUUUUAAAAUAAAUUGAUCUUUUUUCAUUUUUUAAUUAAAAGGUAUUAAAGUUAAAAGGAUAAAAAUGUUUAAAAAGGUAAAAAUAACAUAGGUAAAAUAUCAUUCUGGCCAAAUUUUCUGGCCAAAAGGAUAUGUCCUUAUUUAUAUGUUAAAAUUAGCAUAAUUUUUAUACAUAAUUUAAUUAUCAUUAUUAGUUAAACACUCCCUAUGUCCCUAAUUACUUGUCCACUUUUGAAUUGAGACACCUUUUAAGAAAACAAUAAUUGACAUAGCGAGUUUAUCAUUUUACUCCUAUUAAUUAUGAAGUGAAUGAAUUAAAAAUUUAAGAUUUCAAAAAGUUCUAACUUUUUCAAAAUAAUUAAUUGAGGAUAUAAUCGGUAAAAAAAUUUGUGUCGAAUUUUUAGAUUGCUUGUAACAAAUUAACAUUAUCUAUGAAUAAUAAUUUAACACAAUUGCUUGUAACAAUUGGUAAAACACACAUUAUACAAUAGGUAAAAGGAAAAAUGAACUUCAUUAUAUAUGAAUAAUAAUUUAACACAAUUGCUAGUAACAAAUUAACAAUAACAAAAAAGAUCAUGAUAAAACAGAAGAUUACAAUCUGAAAGUUGCUAUGGAAGAAAACUGAAAGUCAUCUACUAAAAUGCUAACAACACAAUUAUUUUGUCACUAAAUCAGUAUCGCAAUACCAAUAUUUAUUUGAAAAUCUAUUUACAUAUAAGAAAUUAUUAUACUGACACAAUAUGCCUAAUAGUUUUUGCACAUAAAUUGGUAUCACUAAGUUAAUGUUUAUUAGGACUUUAUACUAUAUAAAGAUUUAUAAUAUUUCAAUUAAUCAAAGAGAUAAUUAUACUUUAGUGUAAUCCAUAAAGUUACUUUACAUAAUCUAACCAAGGUUUUGAAUACUUAUUUGAAUUGGCCCAAAUAAGAAACUUAAAUGAACCCAAUGCAAAAAGAAUCAUUCAAAAUUCCAUCUUAUAACUUCAAAAAAGCACAAAUUACAGGCAUAAUUAAUGUAGCAAAAUUCCAAGAGAAAUUUGUAAGAAAAUUUGGGGAAUAUUUUCUAUUCAAAUUUGUCUUGAUUCAUGAUAUUUCACCUAUUGAGGAUGAUAGGUCAUCAAUAUAUCUAUCUUUUCAUAAAUUUUUAGAAGAUUUCAUCAUGCCGUUUGAGGGAAGUUAACCGACGAAGUUUGAUAAAAUUUUAGUUUGCAUAAUAAUGUAUAAAAUUGUAUAUAUUAUAUGUGGUAUAUAAAUACCCUUUAUAAUUUUGCAUAAUAUAUAUAUUAGGUGCAUAAUAGUGUCUAUCAAGUUUUUAAAACAUUUUUGUAAAAAACAAAUAUGGAGAGAUUGACAUGUAAGUACAAGUCCUAAAUAGAAUUUACAAGUUUUAACCCAAAAAAAGAUUAACAAAGUUUAGCCCUAAAAGUAUUGGCAACAAUUGUCAAAGAGAAUAAAAAAUGGUACUUUUAUGGUAAUAAAAUUUUCCAGACGUAUUUCCAAUCAACGCAAUUUUAGCGGUUUAAUAUUUCAAUUCUUGCGGUAACUUGUAUAAGAUUAUUAAUCAUCUUUGUACUCCUUUGUAUUAUUAGGAAGAAAAAAUUAUUAAUACAUAUAGCAUAUUAAAUUUGUUAUGUAUACAUUAACUAUAUUGCGCUUUAUUGUUGUAUAAAUUUAUUUGGGUAAAUUUCAUAAAUAUGCAAUAAAGUAGUUUCAUUUGCACCAAAUAUAGUCAAGUUUUCAUUUACAUAAAAUAACCUAAAAUUAGCGAUAUAUGUACCACAGUAAAAAAUAUUUUCAAUAAAAUGGGCAUAUGUAUAUGUAAUGUAUCAAUAUGUAUAUAUAAUAUAUCAAUAUUGUAUAAAUAAUGUAUACACAUAUAUAGAUGAUGUAUAACUAGAUUUUAUAUACAUUGAUGAUAGAAUAAAAUAUACAUUGCAUUAUAAUAUAUUGAUAUUGUAUAAAUAGUGGAUACUUAUGUAUAGAUGAUGCAUAACUAGACAUCCAUAUACAUUGUUGAUACAAUCAAGUGUACAUUGCAUAUAUAUUGUUGAUACAAUAAAUAUACUUUGCAGACCGAUUUUUUUCAAUCUCAACCAACUCAAAUCUCCUCUAAGCAAUCUCAAAAUUUAGAUAUGAGUUCCCCUCAAUGUUUCGAGUCUUUUGAUAUAUUAUUCGCUCGAAAUGAUUAAAUUUUAUAAUACGUCAAUUUUAAAGGAAAUUUUUUCAAAAUGUCAAUAUUUUAGCAUUUAAUAGGAUCCCUUAGCCACACUUUCAAUAUUUAUGAAAAAUGUCAAUAUUUUCUUUUGUUAUAGGGCUGAUUAUGUAUUUUUUUUUCAUUUGGUUAAUUUUAAAGAAUAUAAUUAGUUAAUAACAGAAAGGAGAAAAUCAUGGGAGAUAAUAUUUUAAAACUUUUAAACUGAGAUUUAAAUAGAGAGAUAUUGAGAUACAUUGUGAGGACAAAAAUACAAUUUUUUUGAUGACAUACAGUUAGAAAUACAAAAUAAGAAGCAAUAUAACAAAAAAUAUGUUGUAUUGCACAUAAUCCCCACAAAAUAAUAUUAUGUACUACAAAAGUUGUAUCUAAACAAAAAUUAUGUUGUAUUCCACACAAUCAACUGCAAAGAUACUAUUAUGAACUACUAAGUUUGUAUCCGCUUCUGUGGAUGAAUACAAUUUAAUGACAUAGAUACAAAACUAACAUGCAUACAGACAUACAAAAAUACAAAAAUAUGUUGUAUUCCACAGGAUUCCAACAAAAUGAUAUUAUAAACUACAAAAGUUGUAAUCAAUUCAUAGUAUGAAAACAAAAUGAAGAUAAGAUUACAAAACUUGAUGGCAUACAGUUAGAAUGAAUACAAAAUUUAUGUAUAAAAACCAAUGAAAAACUGAUAAAUACAUUGUACUUUAGUAAUUUUUUUACAAAAGGGAAUACAUAUUAUAUUCCUAGAUUAUUUAAAUUUGAAAGGGAACAAGGGAAUACAUAUGCACAUAAAGCAAUUUUAUCUUCAUGAAAUUGUUCAUCCACCAUUUGAUCUUCAUCAACCUUUUCGACUUCACUACUAGUAGACGAAGAGCCUAUUGUUUUCUCUUCUUUUCAUUGUUUGUGUCCUUGCUAUUGAUAAUGUUUAUAUCUGUAAUUGAGGAAGGUUUUGCAUGCGAAUAGAGUCAUGUAGAUGGUUAGAUCUGCUUUCUUCCACCAUUCUAGCCGUCGAUCCUACGUUAUCGACUUGUUCUUGAGUGAUACAAAGAUCAAAAAAUGAAAAAAUCGAUUAUUAAAUGGAAUACCUCUUGUAGUCCUCUUUGAAUCCACCAUUAGAGAAGAAUUCUGAAUUUUUCCUUAUCAAAACCCCUAAUUGAAAAUAGAGGAUUUACUAAGCAAUUAUAUAAGCAAACACAUUGAAAGAUUUAAACAAAUGCAAAUCAAUAAAAUACAUAAAAAUAAAAAUACAUACCUAAAUCAAUGGAUUGUUGUGAAUAUCUUUUGGGAGAUUUUUACGAAUUUCUGAAAAUAAUUGAAAAAAGAAAACGUUACCUAUCAAAAGAGAAAGAGAUGGAAAUGAGGGAUUUGGAGUAAAAACCUAGAAAGAGGUGAAAGUGGGUAAUGAAGUAAAAAUAAAUCCAAUGUGGAACUGAUUUGAGAAAUAAAAGGAAAGGAAAUUAAUUAUAUUAGGAUACAUUAUAUUUUCUAAAAAAUAAUGACAUAUUGACAUUUUUAAUAAUUAUUUUAAAGUAUAGAUGUUUUUAAUAAUUAUGUUAGAAAUUAUGACUAGUUUUCUAAUUUUCACUUUAAAAAGAGAAAAUCGAGCUUUGAAUAUGGAAGAACACAAAGGGAGGGAGGAGGAAAUUAACGAAGAAAUUAGGAAGAAUAAGAAGGACGGACGGAAGGAAGGAAGAGAGAAGAAGAAGUCAUAAUUUCCAGAAGAAGAAGACCAAAGAAGGCAAAGAAGAAACCGCAAAUUGCACUUCGCUUUCCAUAAAAAAUUGCCAAAUGACCAUUUUUUAUUUGGAAUUUUACACAAAUCUUGUAGUGUUAUGAGCUAAUUACAUUUCAUCUCUACUCUUUUUCAAAUUACAAAAUUCCUUGAAUUUGGUGGAAUUUGAAUACAUCCAAAAACAUCUGGAUACAUUGCGUCCAGGUUUCAGAUACAUCGCUCAAUGCCCUAAUACAUCGUGUCUCAGUUUUAGAUGCAACACUCAACGUUCUGAUACAACACUCAACGUUUCGAUACAUCACGUACAUUUGGAUACAUCACGUAAGGUGAUGUAUUCAACCGAUACAUCGCGUAAAGUGAUGUAUCCAAUCGAUACAACGUGUAAAGUGAUGUAUCCAACUGAUACAACGCGUAAAGUGAUGUAUCCGAGAAUAAGAGAGAAUAUAAAUUUUUGUAAUUUUUUCAAAUGGUAAAAUAUUUUGGAGAAUAUGAUAAAAAAUAAGUUGUUUAUUUAUGUAAUUUUUCCUUUUCUAUUCAAUAAAAUAAUAAUUGAUUUAUUUUGGGUAAGGAUUUAUGAUUGAAGGGUCGUUUUGCUUAAUUAUUCCUUUAUUUAAUGUGUUGAUUUACUUGAUGUUUAAUUUUUUAUUGGGUUCAAAAUUUAUUGUAUACAUUAAUUGUGACAUGGUAAAUACAUUAUGUAUAUUUUGUUUGUAUACAUUAUUAGUAUACAUAUCUAGGUUUUUUAAUAAAUGAAAUUUUAUGUAUAAUGUAGCGUAUUUUUAUUAUAUAUAUAUAUAUAUAUACACACACAUACAUACAUACAUUAAACUAUAUUCUAAAUUAUCGUUAUAUACAUUUAUUUAAUGUGUUAAUUUAGUUGAUGUAUACUUUUUUUAUUUUGUUCAAAUUUAUGAUAUACAUUGAUUGUGUCAUGAUAAAUAGAGCAAGUAUACAUUACUUAUAAUUAGUUUGUUUACAUUAUAAAUAUACAUAAUUAUGCUGUGUAGCUAUUGAUGUGUACGUUUGAUAGGUAUAUUAUUUUUUGUCAAAAUAUUUUAAUGCAUAUAAUUAGGUUUGUAUACAUAUUGUCAACUGUGUACACAUAAUACUUACAUAAACACUAGACUGAGGCUAUUUAGAGUCAAUUUUAUCUAUAACUUUACAUACCAUGUCAUUUUUUAUUUGUAAUGUAAAGUUUUGCAUUUUUUUGUGUAAUGUAGGUUAGGUAAUUAUACUUUUGUGAAUUUUUUCCUUAGUUAAAAGAUCUAUUAGUUAUAAAAUUUAUUAUCACAUAUAAAAUUUCAAUUUCAUAAUCUUAGUUGAAAUAAUAUACAUGACAUACAUACUCAAACCCAACAAAAAAGAAAAAAACUUGUAUUGUCGCAAAAUAUAAACAAGAUAACUCUUAAUUUAUUUUAAAGACAAAAAAUAUAAUUUUUAUCUUGUUCAAAUAAGAAAUUAUUUAAUGUAUAAAAUCUGCUUGAUAUAAAGCUCUUAUAUGUAAAGAAAAACAAACAAGUAAAAAUUUAAAAGCCAUAAAUUUAAUCAACUUUAAAGUCUUAAAUAUUAUGAUAAUAACUAAAUGACAAUUAUUUGAGGAAAAUAGUAAAUGACUGUUUUGUCUAUUGUAGGUUCUUUUAAUGAAGGGCAAAAAGUUCAAUGAACAUUUCUAAGAAUCUUCAUACUUUAAAUAUAAUAUAGAUAAUGGAGAAAAACAAUAUUCAUAUAAAAUUUAACAUAAAUUAUACAAUGUUUGGUUAAUUUUUUAUUUUACACAUAAAAUAUAGCAUUGAUAAUACAACAUUUACUUUAUAUUUUUUUUGCAUAACAAAUACAUGAAUAAAUUAUGAGAAAAUUAUAUAUAUUAUCUUAUGCAAUGUAGAAGAUAUAAUAACCAAAACUAUUAGUAAUACUUGGAUAGAAACACAAAAUGACAAGAAUAUAUAUCCUCUAUUGUAACUUGUCUUUUUUCUAUUUAAAAAGCUAACAAUUCUAAUAGAAUAAAUUAGACAAAUAAAAAAACGUACACACAUUACAUAUUUAUAAUAUUAAUCCCCUACAUAACUUGUUAGGAAAUAGUGGAAUAUGCAUCUAAUUUUGAUGAUUGAUAAAGUGAACAUAAUUCACUAUUUGUUGUCUUAUAUAUAUUUUAUCAGGUGAAUUAGUUCCCCAGACAUGUAGAAUGGACAAAAACAUCAUGUACAAAUAUAAAAAGAUUAAAUUAAAGAGAGAAAGAAUAAACAACAAAAUAGAGAAGCAAAAAGAGGAAAUAAAUAACAAAAAUAAAGAAGGAAGGAGGGAAAUAAAUUAAUAGUGAAAAUAGAGGACCAAAGAAGGAAAGAAAUAAAGAGCGAGAAUAAAGUCCAAAGAGAAGUCAACAAGCAGAAUGUAAAAGAAAGGAAAUCACAAAUUUUCUUAUAGGAUGCAAUGUUUUAUUCGAAGUAAAAUUUCUAAUACAUGAUAUUAUAGGACAUGAAAAAUCACCAACAUAUAUAUGACAUAAAGAUUUACCAUGGGUCGCACCAAUUGCAUAUUUCAGGAAUUCAUCUUGAGAGCAAUAGCCAUUAGAGCAAACUGAAGGAUUUCAUUGCAACAACAUUGAACCUGGUUUACUAGUUGUUAGGUAUAGUCGAGUCUGUACGGUUGACUAUUGAUGUUUUGUUUGAUUAAGAGUUGUUUUAUGGUUGAAGUUUGUUUAGUUGAAGCCUAGAUUUCUUAGUCUUUGUUGAGUUCAUCAGUUGGAGCAAAUUGACGUGCUUGAGGGCUAAAGUUAUUAGUCUUUGUUGAGUUCAUUAAUUGGAGUAAGAUUAUGUAUUUGAAGGCUAAAGUUAGUUAGUUUUUUUUAUUGAGUUCAACAAUUGGAGAAAAUAAAUGUGUUUAAGGUACAAGAGUUAGUCUCUUUGAUUAUAUAGUCGUAAUCUAAAACCUCUCUUUGAGAUUAGUGCAGGUUGCUGAAAAUCCUACACACUGUAGGUUGUAAUUUCUACUCUCUUAAGAAAGGAGGUAUUUCAUUGUAAAUCAUUAUGUAAUGCUGUCUUAUUUUGCACUUUAUUUUAUUAGUUGAACUCGAUUAACCUAAGUCAAAUCUGUUACAUAGUAAUUAAGUCUAUUGUAGGGUGCUAUAAUAUUCAAUUGGUAUAAUAACAUGUCUUUUCAUCAUAAGAUUAACUCCUUCAAAUGGAUCAUAUGGUUGCGCCACCAACUGCUCAGGAAGGCGGUUUAACCACCAGAUCACCCCUCUUCAAUGCAAUAUACUAUGAGUGGUGGAAGAAUGAUCUGGGGCAUAUUUACGCGUCUAAGCACUACAUUUUAUUAAUAUUUUAGUUUAAUUCUGAGAAUAAAAUCACGUAUAUUUAUGUAUUUUAAGUAUAAUUGUUGUGAAGAGCUAAUAUAUGUGAUAGACUAUAGGCUAAAACACAACAAGAAUUAACAUGAAAGGAGUAAAACUCAAAGUUAAACAUCUCAAAUAGAAAUGAAGCCAAGGUAGUGUAGAUAUAAGGGUCCGUAGUGUGAGGCACACACUCCGCAUUAGAUACCGUGCCACACAUAUCAUGGCACUUUAAAAGUGGGAAAAAGGCAUGUCCUAGUAAUGAUCCACCGACAUGAGACCCUAAUGUAACACCUCAAAAAAUGGAAAGUUGAAAGGAAAGGAAAAUUCAGAUUUUUGGCACUGAGGCAGUGACUAUGAGUUCUAUUUAUGGAGCAUAGGAAAUUCUACGGACUGUAAAAGGGAAGUCGUAGGGUUGAGAAAAGUUUUUUGGAAAAAUUCAAGUUUCUGAAGUUUGACCUACGAGUAGCCAGGACGAGCCGUAUAAAUUUGGACAGGUCGUAGAUGACACUCGUAGAACUGAACAAGACUUAGUGAAAUUUUGGACUUGAACAUGUGUUCUAUUGAAUUUUGGGUUUCUAAAGUUGGUUCUAGGGUUGACCAGUACGGUCCGUAGAAAGUUCUACGGAUCGUAGGUCCAACCGGUAGAUCACUCUGACAGUUAUUUUUUAAGGAUAUUUGGGUAUUUUCCUAUGCAUUUAAUGCCUAUAGUAUGUCGUUUUGACCCUAAUUCUAAGUCCUAUAAUUACCUUUUAAUCCCUAAAUCUACCCAAACCCUCUCAUUCUCUCAAAUUCUCAAAUUUCAUCAAAACUCAUCAUCUCUCAAGUUCAAGGAAGAAAUUAAGGCUUCAAGCUUCAAGUCUCUGUAACGACCCGUUAGGUAGUUUUGAGCAGUAGGACUAUUUUGACUCUUCCCAUAAAAAAUUAAAUGGAAAUUUUGAACUAUUUGGUAACACAAAUUAUUUAAUUAGUUAACAAAUAUUUAUUAUAUAAUUAAAAUAGCUGACAAUUAAUGGACCAAGUCCAUAAUUUAUUUAAUAUCCUUACCACUUGGCCCAUGUGUUGAAAUAAGUUAGUGAAAUUUAAUAUUUUUAAAUCAUAGUUUGAGUAAGUAAAAGAAAGGCGAAAGAGGAAAAGGAACGCCGCAAGACGAGAAGACCACAUUCAAAUAAAACUUCAAAUUUUGAACUCUUUAUAAUGGAUUUUAGGUUCAGAGGCAUUAGAUGUUCAAUUAAUGUUGUGUUCUACGUGGGUUAAAAAAAAAGAAAGUUAGAGAAUUUUUUUAAUUUGGAGACAAUUUUCAAUGGCAAAAUUAUUUAAGUAAUGAUUGUAAUUUUUGGGGGUAAUCAUGAUAAUGAGUGGCUAGUGAUGUAAAGAACCAUUGUUGACAUCGAGGAGGCCGUCACCUGAGUUUGAAUCUGAGUCCUACAAUGGAAGAAAUAUCAACAGUCAAAAGAGAUAAAGAUCGAGUUAGUGGGUACCUUUUUCUCACUGGCAAUCAACGUUUCGAUCUACCAGAGAUCCCUUCACCCACCUCAACUGAUGAUUACGAUCGAGAGGUCCAGCUGGGAGCUCAACUUGUUGAGCUCCAUGGCUAAUCGAUGAAGAGGUCGUGGUGGAGAUGCUAUUCCAGAGGACUGACCUUUCCACUUUCCUUUUCUGAUGUUUUUGUUCUAUUUAAUUUAUUGCUGAUUUUAUGGACUUAGCACUUUGGGCUAAGUUCAUUUGUAUAUUUCUAUCAUUUUAAUAAAACGGGCCUCCCGGGUCUUUAAAAAAAGAAGGGUGAAUAGGAACUGGGUGGCAUCUCUCAUAUUAUUUAUUUCCUUUUUCGUUCUAUCCAUGGUGAGGAGUUACAAAUAGUGUAAUUGUUUUGAUUUCGGUUUCCUUUUCAUGAUUUUUAGAUUGAUACAAGUUUUGAUAUAGUGGGUCAAGAAAUUAAAUAUUAGGUGUAUUGUGUUAUAUAAAUAUCAUGAAAAUUUUGUUAUUUGGAGGAAUUAAGACUUAACCCUAGACUUGAAUUUAGGAAAUAUCAGACUUGACAUAUUAAGUGGCAUCAAGAUUAAGAACUUGAUUUUAGAUUUGGGUACAGGAGUCCGAGCUUGAAUUAUCUUGGAGUUGUGGUGAGUUGCUUAGCGAUUACGUGGCCCACACCUCCAUCUAUCUCAUUAUUUAUUCUGUUAUUUUAGUAUUUAGACAAGAUAUUUCUUACGUUUAGACUUCUCAUUUGAGUUUCAUACAUGCACCAUAUUGUAGAAGCUCUUGUACUUACGACACCAAAAUCUCGGGUGGUAUUUCCGCUUUUCGCGCUUCAUACUCUUGACAGACAUAGUGUUUGAGAUAAUCUACUUGUUGUUUAUAUUUUCACUUUAAUUAGUUAGUUAAAUUGGUAAAACAAGUGGGUAGGCUUACCUAUCGGAUGAGAACAUAUGUGCCAUCACGACAUAUGAAUUUUGGGUCAUGACAAUAUAGUAUCAGAGCCCUAGGUUCAUCAGUUUCACGAGUACAAGAGCAAUGUCUAGUAGAGUCUUGCGGAGCAGUAUGAUGACAUCCAUACUUAUCUUCGAGAGGCUAAAUGACAUUUAUGAAACUUCUAUUCUUUAUUUCCUUAUUGUGCACACUUGACUUUGUUGAAAUAUCAAUCUUGUUGUCUCUUUCUCUAACAAAUAGUGAGGACUCGUGCAUCCGCAAUAAUAUUUUUUGUGGAGCUUGUACUCACUCCUGCAUCCAGUACUAAGGUUAUUGCACGAGGUAUAUACAAAGGCUGAGGUCGAGAUAGAGGUUGUGCUAUAUCAUAUUUGGCUAAUAAGCAUGUCAUGAUUGUUGAUAAGUAAAAGGUGUUUGCCAAGUUCAGGAUAUUGAAUCCUCCAACAUAUAAUAGUGACUUAAAUAAUGAUGUGUAUGUAUUUAUAGUUAGCUAUCAUAAAAGGAUGCACAAUCUUGGAUUAGUGGAGUCCUAUGGAGUUGACUACAUUGUGUUUCAAAUGAUUGGCAUUACCAAGUAGUGAUGGAUAUAUUACAUUGAUAGUAGGCCAAUUGGAUCACCUCCACUAUCAUGGACUCAAUUUACUCAUGUAUUUCAAGAUGAGAUUGUUCCACGUUAAAGGGAGCGCAAGAGGGCCAAGUGUGAGGAGUUGCAUCAAGAUGGUAUAUUAAUCACAUAGUAUAAGGUUAAAUUUCAUGCCUUGUCUAGACACACUUUGAUGAUAUUUCUCACUGAUGCUAAGAGAGUGAGAAAGUUUUUUAAGGGGUUGAUUAUUCUGAUUCGUAUGAGAGUUUCUCAUGUUGCCGCUUUUGGUGUUCCAUUUUAGAAAGUUGUAGAUGUGGCCAAGGAGUUAGAGAUGAUUCAACCUGUGAGAUUUAAGAAACGUGAGGAAAAUAAGGUUGUCAUUCGAGUUGGAUAUGGUAUUCAAGUAACUUGAUUUGCCGGUACAUAUUUCUACUUUUGUUGGAGAAUUCAUAGUGGUAGAUUGAGUAUAUCGAUCGUGUAUAGUUACUUUGAUGAGACAUGAUACUCGAGUGGAUCUGAAAGACUUAUAUAUGAUGUGUUUUUGAUGUUAUUCUGGGAAUGAAUUGGUUAUCUCCUUAUCAUACGAUUUUGAAUUGCCAUGCUAAGACAAUUACAUUAGCUAUGCUUGGUAUUCCUAGUGGAGAGAUUUUCUUAGUCACAGUUCAAAAAGGAUGAUAUCAUUUAUUAAGUCUCAUCGCUUAGUGGAGUGAGGAUGUUUAACUUACUUGGCCUAUAUUUGAGACACUAGUGUGGAGACUCCUAUGCUUGAGUCUAUUCAAGUGGUGAGUGAAUUUUCAGAGGUAUUUCCAACACGCUUACUAGAUUUUCCACCUGAUCGUGAUAUUAAUUUUUGUAUUGACUUAGAACCAGACACUCAACAUAUCUCUAUUCCUCCUUAUAAUAUGGCACCGGCUGUAUCAAAGGAGUUGAAGGAUCAUUUGCAGGAUUUGUUGAGCAAGAGAUUUAUUAGAUCGAGUGUAUCUCCUUGGGGUGCUCCAGUGCUAUUUGUGAAAAAUAAAGAUGGAUCUAUGCGUAUGUGUAUUGAUUAUCGAUAGUUGAACAAUGUUAUCAGAAAUAACUACAUGAUAUCUCAUACUAGUGAUUUAUUUGAUUUGCUUUAGGGUGCUUAAGUUUUCUCCAAGAUUGACUUGAGUUCUGGUUAUCAUUAGUUGAAGGUUAGGGCGGAAGGUAUCCUCAAGAUAACUUUUCGAACAUCUUAAGGCGAUUAUGAGUUUCUGGUGAUGUUUGUUGGGUUGACUAAUGCCCCAACAACUUUUAUGGACUUAAUGAGUGGGGUGUUCACAAUGUACUUAGAUUCCUUUGUUAUUAUCUUCAUUGAUGAUAUACUGAUAUACUUCUGAAAUAAGGAGGAACACGAGCAUCAUUUGAGGAUUGUGCUUGGAUUCUGAAGAGAAGAAGCUCAUGCAAAGUUUUCAAAGUGCGAGUUUUGGAUUAGUUCGGUGACAUUCUUGGAACAUGUAGAGUCCAAAGAGGGUAUUAUGGUAGAUCCUAGGAAGAUUGAGGCAAUUCGAGAUUGGAUAGACCUGCUUCAGUUACUGAGAUUCAAAGUUUCUUAGGCUUUGCAGGCUAUUAUUGGUGAUUUGUAGAGGGGUUCUCAUCCAUUGCAUCCCCAUUAACUAAAUUGACCAAGAUGGAAGUGGCAUUCCAAUGUUGAGAUGAGUGUGAGGUGAGUUUUCAAAAGCUCAAGACUUUAUUGACUACUGCUCUGAUUUUGACUCUACUCGUGGAGGGAGAGGGAGAGGGUUUUUUAUUGUAUAUUGCGAUAAUUAUCUGAUUGUUCUUGGUUAUGUAUUUAUGCAGAAGGGGAAAGUAAUAGCUUAUGCUUCGAGACAAUUGAAGAUUCAUGAGAAGAACUACUCUACUCAAGACUUGGAGUUGGCGGCUGUAGUGUUUGCAUUGAAGAUUUGGAGGCAUUACCAAUAUGGGGUGCAUUGUGAGGUGUUCACGGAUCAUCGUAGUCUCCAAUAUAUAUUCAAUCACAGGUAUCUCUAUUUGAGGCAUGUAGCGGAGAUGGUUCGAGUUGCUCAAAGACUACGACAUGGCUAUCAUUUAUCAUCCGUGCAAGGCGAAUGUGGUAACAAAUGCCUUGAGUUGAAAGACAGUUAGUAUGGGUAGUCUAGCCUUGUUACAAGUUGGAGAGUAUCCUUUAGAUAAGGACGUCCCGUAUUUAGCUAAUAACUUUGUGAGGCUUGAUAUUUCAGAAUUGGGUAGGGUUUUGGCUUAUAUGGAGGUGAGGUCUUCCUUGUUGAAGAAGAUUCCAACUCAACAAUUUGAUGAUGUUGAUUUAUGUAAGAUUUGAGAUAAGAUGGUAAAAGGAGAAGCUAAAGAGGUAAUUCUUGAUGGUGAGGGGAGUUUUGAGGAUAAAGGGUCGUAUUUGUGUUCCUUAGACAAGUGAUUUGACUAGACUGAUCAUAGAGGAUGAGCAUUGUUCAAGGCACUCUAUUCAUCCGGGGGAUACUAAGAUGUAUCAUGACUUGAAGUAGCAUUAUUGGUGGUUUCGUAUGAAGAGGGACAUAGUAGAUUUUGUAUCUCGAUGUUUAAAUUAUCAGCACAUGAAGUAUGAACACCAAAAGCCUGGAGGUGUGACUCAAAAAAUGCUCAUACUGAGUGGAAGUGGGAGCUUAUAGAUAUGGACUCUAUGGUAGGGUUUCCACGUACCUUGGAUAAGUUUGAUGCUAUAUGGAACAUCGUGGACCAAUUGACUAAGUCUGCACACUUCGUACCACUUCAGACUACCUAUAAUUCAGAGAAGUUAGCUAAGAUCUACAUUCGAGAGAUUGUUCGCUUGCAUAGGGUGCCAAUUUCAAUCAUUUUUGAUUGUGGCACACAAUUUACCUCUCAUUUUUGGUGGUCUAUGCAGACGGAGUUGCGCACUCAGGUGGAUCUUAGUACAACCUUUCACCCUCAUAUUGAUGGUCAGUCUGAACAAACUAUUUAGGUUCUUGAAGACAUGUUACGAGCGCGUGUCAUCAACUUUGGUGGUCAUUGAGAUUAAUUUUUUCCUUUAGCAGAGUUUGCAUACAACAACAUUUACCAGUCGAGUAUUGCGAUUAUACCAUUUGAGGCUUUGUAUGGUAGGACAUAUCGAUCUCUAAUUAGUUGGUUUGAUGCAUUUGAGGUUAGGCCAUGGGGUACAUAUUUGUUGAGGGAGUCCUUGGAAAAGGUCAAGUUGAUCCAGGAUAGGCUUCUCAUGGAUCAAAGAAGGCAAAAGAGUUAUGUAGAUCGAAGGUUUCGUGAUUUGGAGUUCAUGGUUGGAAAGCAGGUUCUAUUGAAGGUUUCACCUAUGAAAUGUGUGAUGUGAUUUGGAAAGAAGGGCAAGUUGAGCCCGAGGUAUAUUGGUCCUUUUGAGAUUAUUGAGCGUGGUGAGGUGGCUUAUGAGUUGGCUUUGCCACCUGGUUUGUCGAGUGUUCACCUUGUAUUUUAUAUUCUGAUGCUGAAGAAGUAUCAUCAGGAUAGUGCCCAUGCGAUUCAAUGGGACUCUGUGUUACUUGAUUAAAAAAUAACUUUUGAGGAAGGCCCGAUAGAAAUCUUGGAUAGGCAAAUUCGAAAGUUGAGGUCGAUGGAGAUUGUUUUAGUAAAGGUUCAAUGGAAGCAUCGUCCGGUUGAGGAGGCUACUUGAGAGACCGAGUCAAACAUGUAGAUGAGUAAUCCUUAGCUUUCUGAGCGUUCAUGUACUUCCUAUUCUUUUACCAUUCGAGGACGAAUGUUUGUUUAAGUGGUAGAUGAUGUAAUGACCCUAUAGAUUGUUUUCAGCACUAGGACUAUUUUUACUCUUUCCAUUAAAAUAUAAAUGAUAAUUUUAAACUAUUAGGAAACUACAAUUAUUUAGUUAACAAAUAUUUAUUAAAUAAUUAAAAUAAUUGAUAGUUAAUGGACCAAGUCCAUAAUUUAUUUAAUACCCUUUACCACUUGGCUCAUGUGUUGAAAUAAGGUAGCGUGAUUUAAUAUUUUUAGAUCAUAAUUUGAGUAAGUACAACAAAAGAGAAAGGGACAAAGGAAUGCCGCAAGAUGAGAAGACCACAUUCAGGUAAGGAUUCCAAUUUUGAACUCUUCGUAAUGGAUUUUAGGUUCUGAGGCAUUAGGUGUUCAAUUAAUGUUGUGCUGUAUGUGGGUUCAAAAAAAAGAAAGUUCGAGAAAAGUUUCAAUGGAAAAUUAUUUAACUAAUGAUUGCAAUUUUGGGAGUAAUCAUGUAAUGAGUGGGUACUAAUGAAAAGAAGGGAGAAUAGGAAUUCAAGAAUUAAAUAUUAGGUGUAUUGUAUUAUAUAAAUAUCAUUAAAAUUAUGUUAUUUGGAGAAAUUAAGACUUAACCCUAGGCUUGGAUUUAUGAAAUAUGAUAUUUGACAUAUUAAGUGGCAUCAAAAUUAGGAACUUGAUUUUAGAUUUGGGUACAAGUGGUUUUGUACUCAUACUACACUAGUUGCACUCUUAUGUGGUGCAAAUCCGAUUCCGAAUACAAGCACAUCUCGUGGAGCUUUCUAAGUCCGAGCUUGGAUUAUCAUUGAGUUGUGGUGAGCUUCUUGGUUGUUCCGUGGCCCACACCUCCCUCUAUCUCAUUAUUCAUUCUCUUAUUUUAGUAUUCAUAUAAGAUAUUUCUUACGUUUAGACUUGUCAUUUGAGUUUCAUACUUGCACCUUAUUUUUAGAAGCUCUUGUACUUAUGACACCAAAAUCUCAGGUGGUAUUUUAGCUUUCUGUACUUCAUACUUAUGAUAGACAUAGUGUUUGAGAUAUUCUACUUGUUGUUUAUCUUCUCACCUUAAUUACUUAGUUAAAUUUGUAAAACUAGUGGGUUGGCUCACCUAUCGGGUGAGAACAUAGGUGCCAUCAUGACAUGUGAAUUUUGGGUCGUGACAGUUUCCUUCUUCCUCUAUUGCUUUUGAGCUUUGAUCAUCAAGGUAUGUGGGAAUUCACAAAUGAAUUCAAUUCAUCCAUUGGGUCCUAAAAGAUUUCUAAGUUUCCACUUCAAUUCCAUCAGUUUGGUUAGAGUCUAUCUUUCGAUUUUUGAAAAUUCUUUUCACAAGAUUUCGACUAUAAGAAUUUGUCUUUCUUUUGCGGUCAAUGCCGUCAAUGGAGAGGCAAUCGAAGAAAAACCUUCCACAAACGUUCUAUAGUAGCCAUUUUAACCCAAUAAACUUUUAAUUUCCGAAGGGGAUAGAGGUCUAGGCCAACUCUUAACCGCAUCUGUCUUCUUAGGAUCUACCUCAAUACCCUAUCUGGAAAAAAUGUGACCAGAAAAGCCAUGGAUCUUAACCAAAAUUUGCACUUACUAAACUUUACAAAAAGUUGUUGGUCCUUGAGGACUUGCAACAAAAUUCUCAAAUGAUCGGUAUGCUCUUCUUCACUCCUUGAAUAGAUCAAGAUAUAAUCGAUGAACACAAUCACAAACAUGUCAAGGUAUUGUCUAAACACCCUAUUCAUCAAAUCCAUGAAUGCGGCUGGAGAAUUAGUCAACCCAAAUGAUAUCACCAAAAAUUCAUAGUGACCAUAUCGAGUCCGAAAAUCCAUCUUCGGAAUGCCAUCUUCCUUCACCCUCAAUUAGUGAUAACCCGACCAGAGGUUGAUCUUAGAAAAGUAACUUGCUCCUUGAAGUUGAUAAAAAAAGUCAUCUAUCCUUGGGAGAGGAUACUUAUUCUUAAUGGUAACCUUGUUCAAUUGAUGGUAUUCGAUGCACAUACGAAGUGAACCAUCUUUCUUUCAAACAAACAAAACUGGAGCACCCCAUGGAGAGAUACUCAGUCGGAUGAAACCCCUAUCCAACAAAUUUUUCAACUGCUAAUUUAAUUCUAUAAAUUAUGUCAAAGCUAUUCAAUAAGAAGGAAUAGAGUUACGUUGCAUAUCUGGAGAAGGUCAAUACUGAAGUCUAUUUCCCUUUUGGGAGGAACAGUAGUUAUAUCAUCGCGAAGCACUUCCGGAAACUCAUUAACAAUGGGGACCGACUUAAGAGUAGGAGUUUCAGAAUCUAUAUCCCUCACCCUAACUAGAUGGUAUAUACAACCCUUAGAAAAAUCUUCCUAGCCUUAAGACAACAAAUAAACUGACCUUUCGACAUAGGAUUUCCCCUAUCCACUUUAGGAUAGGCUCUUUCGGAAGCUGAAACUGACCACGGGGGUUCUACAAUCAAUAGAAGCAUAAAAAGAAUGCAACCAAUCCAUACCAAGGAUAACAUCGAAAUAUAACAUAUCAAGCUCUACAAGAUCAACAUGGGAGACUUUAUGAGAUAAGGAGACGGGACAAUUUCUAUAGAUUCUUUUGGAACAAUAGAUUCACCAAUAGUUGUAUAGACAAAAAAAGGGUCUAAUAACACAUCCGGAAGGAUAUCAAACCUCAUAGACACAUAUGGCGUCACAAAAUACAAGGUAGCACCGGGAUCAAGCAAAGAAAAAAAAUCAAGAUGAAAGACUUUCAACAUACCAGUAACCACAUCGAGAGAACCCUCUUGCUAAUGACGAGUUUGAAGUGCAUAAAAUCUAUUUUGCUUUGGAGCACUUGAACCUGAAAAGAUAGGCGGAGCUUGUCUACCUUCUCUUCCCUUAGCCAUAAGUGAUGGACAAUCCCUUAUCUUAUGACCACUCUUACCACAACCAAAGCAAUCAUCCAUACUGGCUAAGCAUUUACCCUCAUGCUUCCUUCCACAUUUAGCACAAAUAGACGAUGAAGAGCCACCACCAUUUUCUCCUUGAGGUUUAGGGUUAGACACCCAUUAUAUUUUGAAUUUAGGAGGAGCAUUAGAGGAACCUUGACUGGAAAACCUUUGUCGGAACUUAGAACGAUCAUGCCCAUCAGAUCUUGAAUGUGAAAAGUCACCUUCAUCGGUCCCUGCCUUCUUUGCCUCUCUAGAUCUUUCCUUAAGUAUCUCUUCUUCCAUUUGUUAAGCAUACAUCAUCAGCCGAGAAAUUUCAAUAUCAUUGAUGAACAUAGCGGUAUGACAUUCUUUGUUAACCACUCGAACACUCCCAAAAUAAACUUACUCAUACUUGCCCUAGGAUCAACAACCGUAGUAGGAUCAUACCUAGACAAUGGUAUGAAUUUCAAGACAUACUCUUUUAUACUCAUGCUUCCUUGAUAAAGGUUGAUGAAUUCAAGUACCUUUUCCUCCCUCGUCUCAAGGGAAAAGAAUCUGUCACGACCCGAGAGCAUCCCCAAGUCGUAACAUGCGUAUUCGACCUCUCGGAGGUCUCAUACAAGCCCUUAGCAUUCAUCACAUUAGAUAUGUAAAAUAGUGCGGAAUUAAAAACUCUUUAAAUAAAAUCUCAUAAGAGUCAAAGGUCACUUUUAAAAACAUCAUUCAAAAGUACACAAGCGGAAUACUAAGUCUCUUAGCCAUCUUAGACAUAAACGUGAAAACAUACUGGGGGACUACAACCUCCCUAUUGGCUUGAGCCGUCAUGGCUUGGGCCAAUACUUGAAAAAAAGCUCUAAACUCUACAUCAGUCACUUGCUCGACCAAAGGGUCGACCGAAAUUUAAGGAGCUUUUUGUUCCACAUUCUCAUUCCUAUUCCUCCUAACAGAUGCUCUUUGAGGGGCCAUAUCCUAAUAAGCAUCGGGUACGGGUUAGGAGAAAGACAUAUAGAGUUACAAUCUAUUGCACAACUUUAGAGUAAUGAAAAAAGUGGAGUUCCCUAAUCAUCUUACAGUUUCUUAUUCAUAAAUGUGGCGCCCUUCAACUCAUGAACAACACUCUAUUCGACGUGGCUUAUGAGACUUCCUAGGACCUUUCUAAACCUUGUGCUCUGAACAACAAGUUUACACGACCCAAAGUACACCUUAGUCGUAACAUGGCGUAUAGUUACCUGAAAGACCGUAUACAAGCCACUUAGCAUACAUCAUACAAGAUACAAGUAUUUAAAAAGUUCAAAAGACAUUUUAUAUCAUAAAGAGUUUGAUAAAAACGAAAGUCUACCAUAAAUCUCAAAGCCAUCUAUUAUAUCAUAAGGCAGUGAUUGGAACGUAAUCCAUACAUCACUUACAAAAUUUGAAAUGAAAAGACAUGAAAGCAAUAAAAAAGUCUCAGUCCUUAGAACCUAAGGACCACCAAUCUUCAAUGUCUAUAUGGGAUCACUAGCCAUGAGUGUACGGAAUGGAAACGUCGGACCCUACAUUAGUGAAACAAUGUAGGCACUAGUAUGCAUAAGUACAUGGAAUGUACUAAGUAUAAUAGAAAUGUAUAAGAAUGAUAAAAUCAUGCUAAAAGGGGUUUUAUAUGACAUGCAAUGACCAAGUUAAAUCAUAAAAUAAUAUUUUAGAAGACAUAAGUCAAAAUCAUGGUCAAUGCAGGCUAAACAUCUUUAAAACAUAUUUGAGAUACUCUGAGAAGUAACCUUAGUUCAUAAUUGUGGAAAGUUUGCCAUUAACUAAUAUAGGCCAUGUGAGCUAUAACAUGGAAUCUGGUGUCUAUCACACAUUGAAAAGAGAUGUUCUUACUUGCUGAGGUAAGAACCAAUAACUUAUAGAUUAGGUAGAUCCACUAGCUAGUGUCUAUCUAAGACACACCUAUGGUGGCACAUAUUUAUGGGAUAGGGAGAUUUCAACUAGAAACCCGACCUCAUCUACGGGAGAGAUUCCAUCUCAAUAUCCUCUCGGUGCUAAGCAUAAAUCCCACGGAAUAGUCAUUAGUAAUAUUCAUCUUAUUAUCCAUGAAAAGAUACAAUCAAGUAGCCAAUCCAAGAUAGAGUUCAUUAGAAUAGCUCCGAAAUCUUGAUUCAAAGUUUAGUUGAGAAAACCUUUCAACCUUAUUAAUCCUUCAUGUGAGAAAACCCUUUCACAUUCAUGUUUUGAGUAGUGUGUAAGAAAUACUCUUACAACAAUCAAAAACAUCGAUGCUUCACUCUCAAAGCAACCUUAAAUCAUUUAUAUCAAUUUCAUAAAGAAACAUGCAUAUCUUCAUAAAUUCAUCUUUCAUAGUUCAAAAACCCCAUCAUAAGAUCAUAGUCUAGAAAUCAUGGAUUACACAUGGGAUCAUGGGAAUUCAACUUUAAAAAAUGCAAUUACUUGAAUUCAUGCAUAAAAAGACAUAAAACAAUCAAUUGGAUCGUAAUUUAGAAGAACCCAUGAGAUGAAUGAAAACCCUAACUUCAAUUGGAAAAUUCUAACUUGUAAAAUUGGAGAAUUUAGGAACCCUAUGGAGGAAAAAACUCCUUAGGUGAAUACUAUCAUACCUUGAUGUCAAAAGCCCACAAUCAUUGGUGAAUUGGGAGAAUUGAUCUUGGAGCCCUAGACUUCUUCUUCAAGCUUUCGAGAGAGAAGUAUUAGGGAAGAACUUUGAUCAACUUUUGAGAAUUUAGGAGAAUGAGUUCAAUUGGGAAAUUUGGGGGUCAAUUUGUAAAACAACCUAGUAUUGGGUUAAAGCAAUUAGGAAAGACCCAAAAGCCCUUAAAAUCAAAUUGCUGAACCUCGACUGACGGUUUAGACCUAUGGUCCAUAGGUCCUACUACGGACUGUCCUAGUCGACUAUAGGUGGGGUUUAGGGACUUCAAUAUGGAUCUUCAAAUGACGGGGCCCAUUUACAGUUCGUAGGUCUACAUAUGGACCGUGCAUGGUCAUCGUAGGUUCUAAAAAUUUCCCAAUUUUUUUUAUUUCAGUUUCCCUCUCACCUACGGAUGCCACCUAAGGUCCAUUAGUUCUCUUACCAACUGUAGGUCACACCUACAACCCGAAUCUGCAUUUUCCCAUUCUUUUCAAAUCCGAGGUGUUAUAGAAAUUCCACCAUAAAAGUAUAGAUCAAUGAAAGUCAGCCCAAAACAAGUAGUAGAAAACUCACAUUCCAGUCAAGUGAUGUAACAUCCUUGCUUUUCUUAGUUGCUUGACUUUCCAAAUGCUUCAAAACCAAAAUUUUUGGAGGCCUCCUUUCGAUUGUAGAAUUACAUGGACCAUCUCGAAUAGUCCAAAUUCUAGCAGUGGAGUCUCCGGACCUAAAGUGAUAUUACACAUGGUUAACUAUAAGAGCCAAUAUUUCUUAGAUGAGUCUAAAACUACUCUCAACCUUUUAACUAAGAGAAAAAAAUAGAAGUAUGAAUAUGAACGUUAGUUGAUUCAUAGACGACAGCAAAAAAGAAAGAAAUGGUAUUUAUGUUUACCGAGAUGCAAUUAGUGACCCUUCUAGACUCCAAGCAUAGACAAAAACCUAGCAUGAGUUUAGAAACAAGAGAGAAUUGUAAUGUUAAUAUAGAAUACAAAAAAUAGAAGAUAUACAUAUUCGAUCACCUAUCGAGAAAUCAUGGCGAACCUCAGAUGUAUGUCCUUCCAAAACCAUUACAUAUACUCACUUCUUUGUCCUGUUCACUGUUUUUUUCUCUUCUGUUGUUUCUCCUUCUCCCUUUAUCUUGCAGGUUCUCGUUUGUGGUCAGCAUUUGCCUUAUCCUUCCGCCUAGGUUUAUCUUUAUGAAGGUUUUGUUUUUUCUCUUUUAUUAUUUUCUGCAUCUCAUACACAUUCUUUGUAAGGAGAUCCAAAAGCUCUAGAAACUUGAAGUCUUCAUCCGUAUCGGUAUCCAGGGGCGGAUCUAUGUGUAUGGGUGGGGUGCCACGACACCCAGUGAUCUUGGUAAAAAAAUUAUAUAUAUAUAUAUGUGUGUGUGUGUGUGUUUGUGUGUGUGUGUGUAUGUAUAAGAUUACUAAUAUAUUAACUUUGCCACCCACUAUAUGAAAUGAUGAAUGGUUUCGUUGGCAAAGGACUGAAACUGUCGCACCGCAAUGCGAGUUUAAUUCUUGCUAUGAACACUACUUUUUUUCUUGCUAGAUCCGCCUCUGUCGGUAUCAUCCUGCAUUCCGUAGUUAUUAUUGGUUAGUUCAGAGUUAUAAAAGAUCUAAAUUUCAUAUAGAAAAAUUAAAUUAUGUAACACUUAGGAUUUGAAAGGAAGGAAAAAGUUGCAUAUUUUCUUAGCUGGUGUCUGCAUCGAUGGAUCCCACUGACGAACUGUAGGUUCACUUACGGGCGUAGGUGGGAACCGUAGGUGGUAGGUGUAAAUAAUUUUAGAAGUCAAGUUUGAGUACUCUUUUUACGGUUCACCAGGACGGUCCGUCGUUCAGUGUACGAGUCGUUGAUAGGUCUCGUAGGUGAGUUCCAGACUUAGUGAAACUAUGAGGGUAAAAGUGGGGAUCGAUGGUUGGUAUGAAUGGUCUAUAAGUGGACCUAUGGACCAUACAUGGUAUCCGUCGAAAGUGGGUAAAAUUUAAGGUCCUAAUAAUUUAUCUACAGUUCACCAGGGCGGUUCGUAAGUGAACCUACAGACCGUAGGUCGAGUCAGCCAUUAAUUUUUUAAGGGCUUUAUGGUCUUUUCCCUAAUUGAUUAAUGCCUAAACUAGGUCCUUUUGAUCCUAAUCCUAGAAGCUAUAUAAGUCUUCUAAGCCUAAAAUCUAACUAUUCUAAAUCAUUCUUCAAAGUUCCCCAAAUCCCUCCAAAGUUCUUACCCCAAAUAUUUCUCUUUCUAAAGCUUGAAGAAGAAGUCUAGGGUUUCAAGAUCAAGUCUCCAUUCUCCACUGAUUGUGGGUUUUUUCCAUAAAGAUAUGAUAGUAUUCACAUAUGGAGUUCUUUCCCCAUAGGUUUGUCUUAGAUAGACAUUAGCUGGUGGAUCCACUUAAGCUAGAAGUUUAUGGUUCUUACCUUGGCAAGUAUGGACAUCUCUUUUCGGUGUGGGAUAGACAUUGGAUCCCAUUUUGUAACUCAUAUGGUCUAUGUUGGGUAAUGCAAACUUCCCACAAUAAUGAACUAAGGUUACUUCUAGAAGUAUCUCAAAUGUGUUUUAGCUUGCAUUGACCAUGCUUAUGAAUUAUAUUUCCUAACACGUUAUUUUAUUAUUUAUCUUGGUCAUUGUAUGUCAUAUAAAGACCUUUUUAGCAUGAUUUCAUAACUCUUAUGCAUUGCUAUCAUACUUGGUAUAUUCCAUGUACUAACACAUACUCUUGCCUACAUUGUUUCACUAAUGUAGGGUCCGACGGUCCUACCUCCCAUACUCGUGGCUAGUGAGCCCUUUAGACUUUUAAUAUUGGUGAGUCCUCAUGUUCCAACGUCCGAGUCUCUUUUAUUGAUUUCAUGUCUUUUCAUUCAGAUUUUGUAUUUCAUGUAUGGGUUGCGUCCCAAUCACUCCUAUGAUGUAAUAGAUGACUUUGAGACUUAUGUUAGAAUUCCGCUACUUUUGUCAAACUCUUUAUGAAUCGAAAAUGUCGUUUGAACUCUUUAAGAUUCUAGUAUCUUGUAUAUGUAUGCUAAGUGGAUUGUAUAGAGUCUCUCGGGGUCCUAUGCUCCAUGUUACGACUAGGGUGUACUUUGGGUCGUGACAAACUUGGUAUUUAGAGCACAAGGUUUAGAAUGGUUCUAGGAUGUCUCAAACCACGUCGAGUAGAUUCUUUUUCAUGAGUUGAAGGGUGCCACAUUUAUGAAUAAGAAACUAUAAGAUGAUUAGGGAACUCCACAUUUUUCAUUACUCUAAAGUUGUACAAUAGAGUGCAACUCUACAUGUCUUUCUCCUAACCCGUACCCGAUGCUUAUUAGGAUAUGGCCCCUCGAAGAGCAUAUGUUAGGAGGAAUAGGAAUGAGAAUGUGGAACAAAAAGCUCCUUAAAUUCCGGUCGACCCUUUGGUCGAGCAAGUGACUGAUGUAGAGUUUAGAGCUUCUUUUCAAGUAUUGGCCCAAGCCAUGACAGCUCAAGCCAAUAGGGAGGUUGUAGUCCCCCGUGAAUCCAAAUGUGGGUUAGAAGGCAUCUGGAGUGAGGGACUUCACUGGAAUGAAUCCUUCGGAGUUUCAUAGUUCCAAGGUUGAGGAAGAUCCUCAAGAGUUCAUUGAUGAAGUGCAUAAGGUGUUGAUGAUCAUGGGAGUGACAUCGGUGGAAAAGGUGGAAUUGGUCGCUUAUCAACUUAAGGGUGUUGCUCAAGUUUGGUUCAACCAAUAGAAAGAAGAGAGAGCAGUUGAUGUGGGUCUUCUUUAUUGGGAAAAGUUUAAGGUCGCUUUCCUUGAUAGAUUCUGUAGCGACCCAAAAAAUAGAUAGGUGAAACUAGAGCCUAACGUAUGAAUUUUUAAAGUUUAAGCAUAAUUGGAGUUAUGAAAUUUUCCAAAAUAAAAAUUGGACUUUGCCUUAGUUUUAUUUGGUAGGUCCAUGUAGGCAAGGGGAAUUUUCGUAAAUAUGUGAAGGUAUUCUUAUGGUUAUAAGGUGAUCUUGUACAAAGUGUUAUUGUAGUAUGAUUGAAAGUAUGUUAUCUUUAAAUGUCCAUAUGUGACGAUUGUUGUUGGUAGGUUGAAUCCACCUUUGGUGGAAGUGUUAUAUCUUGUUAUUGUGUCUAAGUAUGGGAGAGGUGUUUUGGGAAAUGUUUUAGAGAUGGGAAUUGAACUAAUGGUAUAUAGGAAAUAACAUAUGCCCUUUGGAAAAAUGGUCCAACACUUAGAAAAAAAAAUGAGGCGGGUGAACAGUAAAACGCUCACUGGAAAUUGCCUUUCCUGCCGGACAGAUUUUACAAAAAUGGGCAUAACUUCUUCGUCCGAACUCCGAAUGAGGUGAAACCAAGUGCGUUAGGUAGCUAACUCAAAGGGAUUUCCAUGGAUAUGUUAUUGGCCACCCAAUAAUUUGUGUGCUAGGAGAUAUGACCCUCCAAAGUAGACCCUCGAAAAGGCUUCACUUGGAAAUUUCNNNNNNNNNNNNNNNNNNNNNNNNNNNNNNNNNNNNNNNNNNNNNNNNNNNNNNNNNNNNNNNNNNNNNNNNNNNNNNNNNNNNNNNNNNNNNNNNNNNNNNNNNNNNNNNNNNNNNNNNNNNNNNNNNNNNNNNNNNNNNNNNNNNNNNNNNNNNNNNNNNNNNNNNNNNNNNNNNNNNNNNNNNNNNNNNNNNNNNNNNNNNNNNNNNNNNNNNNNNNNNNNNNNNNNNNNNNNNNNNNNNNNNNNNNNNNNNNNNNNNNNNNNNNNNNNNNNNNNNNNNNNNNNNNNNNNNNNNNNNNNNNNNNNNNNNNNNNNNNNNNNNNNNNNNNNNNNNNNNNNNNNNNNNNNNNNNNNNNNNNNNNNNNNNNNNNNNNNNNNNNNNNNNNNNNNNNNNNNNNNNNNNNNNNNNNNNNNNNNNNNNNNNNNNNNNNNNNNNNNNNNNNNNNNNNNNNNNNNNNNNNNNNNNNNNNNNNNNNNNNNNNNNNNNNNNNNNNNNNNNNNNNNNNNNNNNNNNNNNNNNNNNNNNNNNNNNNNNNNNNNNNNNNNNNNNNNNNNNNNNNNNNNNNNNNNNNNNNNNNNNNNNNNNNNNNNNNNNNNNNNNNNNNNNNNNNNNNNNNNNNNNNNNNNNNNNNNNNNNNNNNNNNNNNNNNNNNNNNNNNNNNNNNNNNNNNNNNNNNNNNNNNNNNNNNNNNNNNNNNNNNNNNNNNNNNNNNNNNNNNNNNNNNNNNNNNNNNNNNNNNNNNNNNNNNNNNNNNNNNNNNNNNNNNNNNNNNNNNNNNNNNNNNNNNNNNNNNNNNNNNNNNNNNNNNNNNNNNNNNNNNNNNNNNNNNNNNNNNNNNNNNNNNNNNNNNNNNNNNNNNNNNNNNNNNNNNNNNNNNNNNNNNNNNNNNNNNNNNNNNNNNNNNNNNNNNNNNNNNNNNNNNNNNNNNNNNNNNNNNNNNNNNNNNNNNNNNNNNNNNNNNNNNNNNNNNNNNNNNNNNNNNNNNNNNNNNNNNNNNNNNNNNNNNNNNNNNNNNNNNNNNNNNNNNNNNNNNNNNNNNNNNNNNNNNNNNNNNNNNNNNNUUUGUGAAUGGUGACUUGAAAUGUGGGUUUAUGCUUGUGGUUGUAAAGGUUUGUUAAAGAAGGUCUUAAAAGCAUUUAUCCCUUGUAAAUGUCCGUGGUGCACGUUUUCUUGCAUGGUCAUCAUACUUAGUACUUAGUUGUGCUAAUUCCAUAUUUCUCUAUUUUCUACUAGUGUAGGUUCCGGAAAGUGAGCGGGUUCUAUAGUAAGCUUGGAACUUGAAGUUCUUCCAAGAUCUUGUGGUAUGUCCUCAUAUGUCGAGGACAAGAGUUUUCUAUUCUAGUUUAUAAUAAGGUUCUUGUAAUAGACUUAAUAGACUUCUUUUGAUUGUAAAGGGCCGUGUCCCUAGUAUGUUUUCACGUUUAUGUCUAAGAUGGCUAAGAGACUUAGUAUUCCGCUUGUGUACUUUUGAAUGAUGUUUUUAAAAGUGACCUUUGACUCUUAUGAGAUUUUAUUUAAAGAGUUUUUAAUUCCGCACUAUUUUACAUAUCUAAUGUGAUGAAUGCUAAGGGCUUGUAUGAGACCUCCGAGAGGUCGAAUACGCAUGUUACGACUUGGGGAUGCUCUCGGGUCGUGACAGAUUCUUUUCCCUUGAGACGAGGGAGGAAAAGGUACUUGAAUUCAUCAACCUUUAUCAAGGAAGCAUGAGUAUAAAAGAGUAUGUCUUGAAAUUCAUACCAUUGUCUAGGUAUGAUCCUACUACGGUUGUUGAUCCUAGGGCAAGUAUGAGUAAGUUUAUUUUGGGAGUGUUCGAGUGGUUAACAAAGAAUGUCAUACCGCUAUGUUCAUCAAUGAUAUUGAAAUUUCUCGGCUGAUGACGUAUACUUAACAAAUGGAAGAAGAGAUACUUAAGGAAAGAUCUAGAGAGGCAAAGAAGGCAGGGACCGAUGAUGGUGACUUUUCACAUUCAAGAUCUGAUGGGCAUGAUCGUUCUAAGUUCCGACAAAGGUUUCCCAGUCAAGGUUCCUCUAAUGCUCCUCCUAAAUUCAAAAUAUAAUGGGUGUCUAACCCUAAACCUCAAGGAGAAAAUGGUGGUGGAUCUUCAUCGUCUACUUGUGCUAAAUGUUGAAGGAAGCAUGAGGGUAAAUGCUUAGCCAGUAUGGAUGAUUGCUUUGGUUGUGGUAAGAGUGGUCAUAAGAUAAGGGAUUGUCCAUCACUUAUGGCUAAGGGAAGAGAAGGUAGACAAGCUCCGCCUAUCUUUUCAGGUUCAAGUGCUCCAAAGCAAAAUAGAUUUUAUGCACUUCAAACUCGUCAUUUGCAAGAGGGUUUUCUCGAUGUGGUUACUGGUAUGUUGAAAGUCUUUCAUCUUGAUUUUUUUUCUUUGCUUGAUUCCCGGUGCUACCUUGUAUUUUGUGACGCCAUAUGUGUCUAUGAGGUUUGAUAUCCUUCCGGAUGUGUUAUUAGACCCUUUUUUUUGUCUCUACAACUAUUGGUGAAUCUGUUGUUCCAAAAGAAUCUAUAGAAAUUGUCCCGUCUCCUUAUCUCAUAGAGUCUCCCAUGUUGAUCUUGUAGAGCUUGAUAUGUUAUAUUUCGAUGUUAUCCUUGGUAUGGAUUGGUUGCCUUCUUUUUAUGCUUCUAUUGAUUGUAGAACCCCGUGGUCAAGUUCAGCUUCCGAAAGAGCCUAUCCUAAAGUGGAUAGGGGAAAUCCUAUGUCGAAAGGUCAGUUUAUUUGUUUUCUUAAGGCUAGGAAGAUUUUUCUAAGGGUUGUAUAUACCAUCUAGUUAGGGUGAGGGAUAUAGAUUCUGAAACUCCUACUCUUAAGUCGGUCCCCAUUGUUAAUGAGUUUCCGGAAGUGCUUCGCGAUGAUAUAACUACUGUUCCUCCCAAAAGGGAAAUAGACUUCAGUAUUGACCUUCUCCAGAUAUGCGACGUAACUCUAUUCCUUCUUAUCGAAUAGCUUCGAUAGAAUUUAUGGAAUUAAAUGAGCAGUUGAAAAAUUUGUUGUAUAGGGGUUUCAACCGACCGAGUAUUUCUCCAUGGGGUGCUCCAAUUUUGUUUGUUUGAAAGAAAGAUGGUUUACUUCGUAUGUGCAUCGAAUACCAUCAUUUGAACAAGGUUACCAUUAGAAUAAGUAUCCUCUCAAAUACUACUCAAAACAUGAAUGUGAAAGGGUUUCUCGCAUGAACGAUUCAUAGAGUUGAUAGGUUUUCUCAACUAAAAUACGAAUCAAGAUUUAAGAGCUAUUCUAAUGAACUCUAGCUUAGAUUGGAUACUUGAUUGUGCCUUUCCAUGGAUAAUAAGAUGAAUAUGACUAAUUAUUCAUUGGAAUUUAUGCUUAGCAUCGAGAGGAUAUUGAUAUGGAAGCUCUCCCAUACUCGUGGCUAGUAAGCCCUUUUAGACUUUUAAUAUUGGUGAGUCCUCAUGUUCCAACGUCCGAGUCUCUUUUAUUGCUUUCAUGUCUUUUCAUUCAGAUUUUGUAUUUCAUGUAUGGGUUGCGUCCCAAUCACUCCUAUGAUGUAAUAGAUGACUUUGAGACUUAUGUUAGAAUUCCGCUACUUUUGUCAAACUCUUUAUGAAUCGAAAAUGUCGUUUGAACUCUUUAAGAUUCUAGUAUCUUGUAUAUGUAUGCUAAGUGGCUUGUAUAGGGUCUCUCGGGGUCCUAUGCUCCAUGUUACGACUAGGGUGUACUUUGGGUCGUGACAAAUUUGGUAUUUAGAGCACAAGGUUUAGAAUGGUUCUAGGACGUCUCAAACCACGUCGAGUAGAAUCUUGUUCAUAAGUGUGAAGCGCGCCACAUAUAUGAAUGAGAGGAUACUAUAUGUUUAGGAAACUUCACUUCUUCAUUUCUCUAGGGCGUGCCAUGGAGUUUAACUCUAUUAAGUCUUUCUCCUAACCUUUACCCGAUGAUUUUCAGGAUAUGACUACUAGAAGGGCUAAUGCUAGAGGAUAGAGGGAGACAAUGUGGGUCAAGAAGUUGCUCCCCAAGCUCCUCCUAAAGCUCCAAUUGAUCCUUUGACUGAGAAUGUAACCAAUGCAGAGUUUAGGUUGACGUUCCAAGUUUUGGCUCAAGCCGUGACGUCCCAAUCCAAUAGAGAGGUGGUAGCUCCCGUGAACCCAAAUGUGGGUAUGACAGUGACAAGAGUGAGGGACUUUACAAGGAUGAACCCUGUAGAGUUUUAUGGCUCCAAAGUUUAGGAGGACCUUCAAGAAUUUAUCGACGAGGUUUAUAAGAUACUUGCUAUUAUGGGGGUGACACCAGUAGAGAAAGUGGAGUUAGUCUCUUAUCAACUCAAAGGGGUUGCUCAGAUUUGCUUAAAUCAGUAAAAAGAGGCAAGACCAGAAUGAGUAGGUCUCAUAGAGUGGGAGAGGUUCAAAAGUGCUUUUCUUGACAGGUUCUUCCCGUUAGAGAUGAGAGAGGACAAGGUACUUGAGUUCAUCAACCUUUGACAGGGAAAUAUAAGUGUGAGGGAGUACGCAUUGAGGUUCACUCAACUAUCUAAGUAUGCUCGUUCUAUCGUAGCGGAUUGUAGGACCAAGAUCAGUAAGUUUGUGUCGGGAGUAUCCGACUUGGUUGUCAAAGAAUGCCACACUGAUAUGCUGGAUCAUGGUAUGGACAUUUCUCACCUUAUGGUGUAUUCCUAACAAAUUAAGGAAGAAAAGCUUAAGGAAAGAUCUAGGGAAGCAAAGAGGUCAAGAAGGGAUGAUGGUAACUUCUCACAUUCUAGGUGCGGUGGACGAGGUCGUUCAAGGUUUAGGCAAAGGUUCUCCAGGCAAGAUUCUUCAAAUGCUCGUCCAAGGCCUAACAAUGAAAGGGUGUUUAACCCUAAACCCCAAGGAGAUGGUAGUAAGUCCUCAAUGCCUACUUGUGCUAAAUGUGGGAGAAAUCAUGAGGGUAAGUGUCUAGCAGGCUCCAAUGCUUGCUUUGGGUGUGGCAAGACGGGUCAUAAGAGUAGGGAUUGUCCCUCGGUUUCUAAGAAUGAGGGAUAUACUCAUCGUAGGGCUCAACCCAACCCCUCAUCUGGUCCAAGUGGUUCGGGUGCUAGUUCUCCUAAGCAUAACUGAUUCUAUUCUUUCCAGACUAGAGGUGAUCAAAAGAUCUCCCCCGAUGUAGUGACCGGUAUGUUAAAAGUUUUUCAAAUUGAUGUGUAUUCUUUUCUUGAUCCCGGUGCUACUUUGUCCUUUGUGACUCCUUAUGUGGCUAUGAGGUUUGAUGUGCUCCCCGAUGUGUUAUUAGAGCCUUUUUCUGUCUCUACCCCUGUUGGUGAUUCUGUGUUGGCUGAAAAGGUAUAUAGAAGGUGUCCCGUGUCCUUAUCCCAUAGAGUUACUCUUGUUGAUUUGGUAGAACUUGAUAUGUUUGACUUCGAUGUCAUCCUUGGUAUGGACUGGUUUCAUUCAUGCUAUGCUUCCAUUGAUUGUAGAACUAGAGUGGUUAAGUUCCAAUUCCCAAAUGAGCCUAUCCUAGAGUGGAAGACGGGAAAUUCCAUGCCUAAGAGUCGGGUUAUUUCUUGUCUUAAGGCUACUAAGAUGAUUUCUAAGGGUUGCUUGUACCAUCUAGUGAGGGUGAGGGUUGUAGAUUCCGAGACUCCUUCUCUUGAGUCGAUUCCUAUUGUAAAAGAGUUUCCGGAAGUGUUCCCAGAUGAUCUACCCGGUAUUCCUCUCGAAAGGGAAAUAGAUUUUUGUAACACCUUGAAAAUUAGUCGAUUAACUAGAGCCUAAAUGUGAGGGUUAACGUCAAAGAUUAAGGGCAAGGGCCAAGAGUUUGGGUGAAGGCCUUGGCUAGGGGGCCAAGGCUGCCUAAAACUAGCCUAGCCACUACCUACCAUGACCACGAGGGUCUUCACGACCCGUCGUGGCCACCACGAGUCGUGGUACCACCCGUGGUUGGUGAGGCAGUGCACUCCCAAAAGUGUCAAGCCAAGACUUCCCUUCACGAGCCACUUCACGGCUCGUGGUUAUGACCACGGGACAUGGGAAGGCUCGCGAGGUUGCCUUAGCCUCAUGGGAGAUGUGUCAAGUGAAGGAGCUACUUGUCAAGGGACCACGGGCACCACCACGAGACGUGGUGCCCUUGACGGUUCGUAUAUGGGCUUGUGAAGACCCCUUAGGCGUGUGGGAGGCAAGGCAUUAAGCCUAGCCACUGCCUCAAGACCACGACUUUCACCACGACUCGUGGUCUUGACCACGGAUCGUGGGAGGUCUCAUGGUCAUGCCUUCAAUUUAUGGAGACCAAGACCCCAAGCCACAACCACUGCCCAAGGACCAUGGGCAGGACCACGACUCGUGGUCUUGACCAUGACUUGUGAGGCCCUCUCGUGGUGCUUGGGAGUGGGCUGCCUAGUUAGGGGCAUUUUUGUAAUUUUCUAAUUAAUAAGUUAUUUUAUGGGGUCGAUUUUAAUUGUUUUAGUUCACUUAUAUAAAUGAUUUUAAGUCUUUAAACACCCUAUUUACUUCUUUAUACCUAAAGACCCAAAUCAAACAAAAAAGUUCUUCUCCCUCUCAAAUAUUUCUCUCUCUAGGAAACCUCCAUUGAAGACCAAGAAAGAGAUCAACUAGGGCUUGAAGAAGGGGGGUUUUCAUACGAAAUUGGUUGGAUUCUACACCUAAGGUAUGGUAGUUUUCAUCCUUUGGUAGCUAUCACCCAAGGAGUCCUUUCAAAAGCUUUUAUCUCAAAUCUAGAAAUCCCCAAAAGCGAGGAAUUCAACUCAACCCCAUGGAUUCCUUUCAAAGUUGCUUUUAAAGGUUGAAUUAUGUUUGUUUAUGGAUGAAUUACUGAUUUUAUAUGAUUUUAACUUGAAUUCCUCAAGAAUCCAUGAGUUUCCCAAUCCUAGGUAUGGUCCUUCUUUACAUUAAAGAAUGUUGUUGCAAGUUCGUACAAUUGAUUGGAUGUGAGUACAGUAUGAUGUGAUUGCAUGAUUUUAGUAUGAUUCUACAUGUAUACUUGAUUAACCUAAGAUUAUAGGGUGAAAUUGAUGUGGCCUAGGGCUAUGUCAUGAAAGAGGCAAAUUGAAGGUUUAUAUGUGACCUUCUAAAAUUGAUGAACUCCGAAUCAACCUCUCUCAUUUCCCAAUCAAAUAUUAAGUAGAAAGGAACAAGCUGUUCAAAUUUGCACUCUCUCACUUUUCUCUCUAGUGUGGUAGCUGAUCAAACUCUUGUGUUUCUUCAAAAAUAAGACCUAAAAGAAAGUCUUACAUAUGCACAAUAAUAAUGGGCUUAUGGGCAAAAGCUAGCUAGUCUAAAUUGAGCUUAAAUUUAUCCACAAAGGAAAGAAAAGAGACCCAAAACCUGGGACUUUUAUUUAUCCACAUAGAAAGGGAAAAAGACCCAAAACCCAACACAUCUGCCCCUACCGACUAUGUGGAGGAGACCGCCAUCCCGGUGUUCAUAUAACAUACUUCAAACUUUGCUCUUGGCAAAGCUUUAGUCAUUGUGUCGGAACCAUUAUCAUUGGUAUGUAUAUUUUCAAGUUCAAGUAACUUAGAAUCCAACACAUCUCGAAUCCAAUGAUAUCUCACAUUCAAUAUAUUUAUACCGACCAUGAAAUGUAAAAUUCUUGUCAAGAUGAAUAGCACUUUGACAGUCGCAACAAAGCACAUAUCUCUCUUGAGCAAACCAAGUUACCCCAAAAAUUUAUUCAUCCGGAUCAACUCUUUGCAAGCUUCAACAACAACAAUAAGCUUAACCUCUGUUGUAGAUAAAGAAACAUAUUUUUACAACCUAGAUUUCCAAGACACAGCUCCCCGGCCCCUGAAAAAGUAGUCAAGUAGCCUGAAGUAGACUUACGAGUAUUAAUAUCACCGGCAAUAUCUAAAUCAGUGUAACCACAAAGAAUAGGCUUCCGUGUACCAAAACACAAACUCAAACUAGAAGUGCCACAAAGAUAUCUCAUAGCCCACUUCUCAACAUUCCAUGGUUCUCUUCCCGGAUUAGAAAGAAAACAACUAACAAUACCAACAAUAUAAGCAAUAUUUGUCCUUGUACACACUAUUGCAUACAUCAAACUACCAACAACUGAAUCAUAAGGAACUUUCUUCAUAUAUUCCUUCUCACCAUUAACGGAAGGACAAUGCUUAGUACUCAAUUUGAAGUACAUUGAUAAAGGUUUACUGACAACCUUAGCUUUGUCCAUGUUAAAUCUACAAAGUACUUUCUGAAUGUACUUCUCUUGUGACAACCAUAGCUUCUUGGCCUCUCUGUCACGAACAAUAUGCAUGCCAAGAAUCUGUCUUGCUGGUCCCAAGUCUUUCAUAGAAAAAGAGUUAUUCAACUCUUGCUUCAACUUUUUAAUCCUGCAAGCAUUAUGACCAACAACAAGGAUGUCAUCAUCCAUAAAGCAAAACGAUAAUAAAAUCACUUCCAAAGAAAUUUUGCACAAAAUACAAUGGUCUGAAUAAGUCUUCUUGAAACUUCGUUGACUUAUAAAAGAACCGAACUUCUUGUACCGUUGCAUGGGAGCUUGUUUUAGACCAUACAAGUUCUUCUUCAACUUGCAAACAUAAUUCUCUUUUCCUUACACUUCAAUGCCUUCCGACUGCUCCAUAUAAAUUUAUUCAUCUAAGUCACCAUGGAGAAAAGCUGUUUUAACAUCCAUUUGUUCAACUUUUAAGUCUAUACUGGCAGCUAAGCCUAGAACAACUUUCAAGAUUUUAGCUCUUGAACAGUAGAUGCAUUUCGGUGAUUUUACCCCUUUAUUUCUCUAGUAUUUGUUGCUAUCUUGUAGUUGUGUAGGUCAUUGUUUGGAACUUUGUUGGUGGCCAUUUUGUAGAACACUUUUGUAACAUUUUUUUUAUUUUAGUGGAGCUUUGUCCUUGUGGUUUUUACUCUUCACACAUAAGAGGUUUUCUACGAUAAACUUGGUAUCUAAUGUGUUGAUUUAUUUUGCUUGCUUUGGUUGAUUUGUUUGCUGCCCAAACAGUUUUAUUCUUGCAUUAGUUUGUAUUUUCUUGGUUCUAAUAGAAUGGAAAAUUUUGACUUAGGUUUUCUUCCGUUACUGCCUUGCUGUGCACAUUUAUUUGUGCUUGCCUUUCCCAACAAAGUGAUAUCAGAACAUUGGGUUGUUGUGAUAAUCUAUUUGAAUAAUGGAGCCAUAUAUCAAAAAGAUGGUUGUUUGGAAGGGUAGUAAUUAUCAUACUUGGAAAGACAAGAUGAAAGAUCUUCUAUAUGUCAAGAAAAUGCAUCUAAAUAUGUUUGCUUCUAAUAAACCCGAAUCUAUGAAUGACGAUGAUUGGGAAUUUGAGCACUUACAAGUUUGUGGCUAUAUCAGACAAUGAGUUGAAGAUAAUAUUAGAAAUCACAUUGUUAAUGAGACACAUGCCAGAAGUUUAUGGGACAAACUCGAGACACUUUUUGCUUCGAAGACUGGCAACAAUAAGUUGUUUCUAUUGGAACAAUUGAUGAACAUCAAGUAUAAAGAGGGCACUCCUAUUUCUGAUCAUAUUAAUGAUUUUCAGGGUGUUGUUGACCAGCUGUCCGGAAUGGGUGUAAAAUUCGAUGAUGAAUUACAUGUACUAUGACUUAUUAAUACUCUGCCAAAUCCUUUUGAAACUUUUCGAGAUGUUCGCUUGAAUUUGAUUUCUGUGGGAUACUUUGAUGAUGAGGGUUAUCUUAGUCCUUGGUGCUGACCAAUGGAAGCUUACUAGAGGUUCGAUGGUUGUAGCCUGUGGUGACAAGUUGUCUAACUUGUACGUUUUUCAGGGCUCCAUUUCUAGAGGCUUAGUAAAUUUGGUGGAGAAUGAAACAUCAUCAGAGUUAUGGCAUAGAAAGCUGAGUCAUAUGAGCAAGAAGAGGCAGGAAAAUUUAGCUAAUAAGAAUUUGCUUUUUGGAGUAAAAUAAGCAAAGUUGAACAAAUGUGUUCAUUGCUUAGUCGGUAAAUAGAAAAAAGUUUCUUUUCAGAGUCAUCCUCCUUCAAGAAAGCUUGAUUUGCUGGAGUUGGUGCAUUCUGAUUUGUGUGGUCAUUUAAAGGUAAAGCCUCAUGUUGGUGCACUUUACUUUAUGACUUUUAUUGAUGAUCAUUCUCGCAAACUCUGGGCAUUCUCUUUGAAGUCCAAGGAUCAGGUACUUUAUAUGUUCAAGAAUUUUCAGACCUUGGUUGAGAGAUAGACAAGGAAGAAAAUAAAAUGCAUCUGUCCUGGUAAUGGUGGUGAGUAUAUUGGUCUUUUUGAUAGAUAUUGCAGAGAGUAGGGUUUUCGACAUCAGAAAAAUUAUCAAAAGACCCCUCAGCUAAAUGAUUUAGCAGAGAGGAUGAACAAAACUCUAGUUUAGAGGGUUUCAUGUAUGCUUUCAAAUGUUAAGCUGCCAAAUUCUUUUUGGGUAGAAGCACUUAAUACUGAUGCCUAUAUUAUUAAUUUAUCUGCUACCAUUGCUUUGAAUGGUGAUGCCCCAAACAAAGUUUUCUUUGAUGAGAAUGUCUCUUAUGAUCAUUGUAGUGACCCUUUAGGAGGGAUACUACUACUUAACGAGAAACCUAUUUUAAUACUUGCGACAUUUAAAAGAGAUUAACGAAGGGCAUAUUGAUUUUAAUCUAAUAGAGGGAUUAGGUUCAUAACGAAUAAUUUAGUUGAGGAUAUACAUCUUGCCCAUUUAAACAUUUACUUGAUGUUAAAAUUGAUAUGGCACGGAAUUUAACUUAUGACGGAAAAACCCUUCCAGAGUAAUUUAAGCAAAUAACUGACGAGCUUUUCAUGCAUAUAUUAUCCUCACACUUAAGGAUGAGAUAACAAGAAUAUUACCAACUUUCGAGUACCGAAUCAGCCGGUUCAUGCUUCACACAAAUAUUCAAAACUAAUAGUACAUUUCGUAUAUUACAAGACUUGGGUUUACACACCCAAAAAUAACAAAACAUAUAGACAUACUUAUAUUACAACCCAUGGUGACGUGAUCAAAUUAGUCCUCAAAAAUUUCAUGUAAAUAUACAACACAUAGAUCAUGUACAAGUCCCAAGGUUUAUAUAAAAUAUAGAUGCCUAUAUGCAAAUGUGAUCUUCCUUAAGGCUCUCAAAAUCUCCAUCUCCCAUGGCCAGCUUCAUGCAUCCUCUCGAACAUUCCCUACGAUAGAAACAACUAUCGCUAAGCAUAUAGCUUAGUGGUGCAAAAACUAUAGGUUCGGAGCCCUCAGAUUCACCAAGUUACCUUUCUCAAGUCAUGGGCAGCAUAAUUGAAUAUAAUAAAUAAAUCAAGUAAACAAUAUGUAAAGAGUAUCAAGUUCGAUAUUUAAAGAUCCAAAUGUCAAGAACGCUCAUAGCACCAUUUUCCAAGAGAUUCAACAACAAGGCUCGCCCAAUAUAUACAUCAUGUCAUCACACCAAGCACAAGGAGAUAUCAAGAAGGGUCGACGCCCUGUAUCAAGAAGGGUCAAAGCCCAAUAAUCAAGAGAACCAAGAACCAUAUUAAAAAUGGUUUUCUAGUUCGUACUUAAAAUGGACAACUUCCAUUCUUAAGACGGACUAAAAAUCCAGAGUCAAGAUGGCAAAUGAUCUGAAUCAAGAGGCAUGCCAAUAGUGACAUAGUCACAGCCACAAGAAGGACAAGGUCCCAACAAGAGUACCAAGUGAUCAAACAAUCCGUACAAGUGGAUGAGUUACACAAGCGUCUUUAAUGUCUUAAAGGAUACCAACACGACAAUGAAAAGUGACAAGGGGUAACCAAGGUACCAAGAUAAACUUUCAGAUAUACCAGCAGUUAAAAGAGUGCAAGUACAAGUUUAUACACAAACCUCAGUGCUUUAGCAAAGAAACAGUCCAACACAACUUCGCUAGUUCAGACCGUAGACCAACCAACGUUUCAAGGUCCUCAACUUGUUCACGAGUAUAUACAAGCUUAAAAAUACAAUUAAAUAGGUUCUUUAAUUCCUAGCAGAUCAAUAAUGUUUAUGUAAAACAGGAUUAUCAUUACAAGUAAGCUUAGCCUGUACAAAUACGACUAUGCUCCCAAAACAGAAAUUCUGGCCAGCCUAGUCCCUCAUGUCGCAACUUAUAUUUGAAAAGGAAAACGGCAAAAAUGGAGUGUAUACUCUUCAGGAAAGAUGUAGGUACAUAUCUCAAGGUUGCAAACAAUCAAGAACCACCGCAAAAUAUAUUUUGUACAAAGAGAUAUCAUCAAAACAGUAACAGUUGAUCAUACAGGAUUUCUAAUUCCGAAAUCUGGACUGAACUUGUCCUAUGUUGCGUCCCAUAUUUCGAAUCCAUAACAGCUAAAUUAGAGUUUUACAUAACCAUAAGAGUUGUAGGUCUAUAAAUUAGAUUUCCAAAUCAUAUUUAUUCACUGUAAACUAAGUUCUAUAGAAAGAGAUAUGUAUAACAUACCAAACACUACCCAGCUCAGAAACAAAUUUCGUCACUUACCAAAAAGAAGUGUGCAUCUCGAAUUCCAGCCAAAAAGGCCUAGUUUUUCUCUUGUGAUUUUGAAGAACAACUUGUUAGAUAAUUUUCUAAGGUUCUUAUACUUCAGGUGAGACGAAUUUUACUAGAAGAGGUGUCAAAAUAUAGUCUCAAAAGUGAGGCUAGUCACAUGUGCAGCUGUCACUAAAAGGGCUGCCCAAAUAAAAGUAGGCUACCCAGAAAGCAUACAUAUAUACCUAUAGGUAUAUAACUAAUACCAACGCUUUCAAUUUAUAUAUAAUUCUAAUUAGAAAAUUACGUAAAUACCCCCAUACAAUACCUUAAAUUACGAUCACAAUUAUGCUAAGCAAGGUUGCAAAUAUCACAAAAUUUCAAGUUCUAUUCUAGUAAUUAAGCAAUGGUGUAUCGACAUGUGAAUGUUGGUCUAGUAUUUAGGGGUGUUACAACUCUCUCCUCCUAAAAGAAAUUUUGUCUCGAAAUUUACCUUAAACUAGUCUCGAAACAAGUGCGGAUACUGGGACCUCAUGUCUUCUUCUCUCUCCUAGGUAGCUUCCUUCCCAGAAUGGUUCCUCCAAAGUACCUUUACUAAGGGGAUUCUCUUGUUCCUAAGUUGCUUUACUUCUCGAGCUUGAAUUAGGAUAGGUUCUUCAUUAUACGUCAAGGCAGGAUUAACCUCAAUAGAUUCAACUGGAAGAACAUGAGAUGGAUCAGAACGAUAUCUUCUGAGCAUAGAAAUAUGGAAGACAUGGUGGAUCUUGUCUAAUUCAGGUGGCAAAGCCAAUAUAUAUGCAACUGGUCCAACCCUUUCAAGUAUCUCAUAAGGUCCAAUAAAUCGGGGACUAAGUUUUCCUUUUUUGGCCAAAUCUCAUAAUCUUUUUCCAUGGAGACACCUUUAAGAAUACUUUAUCUCCAACUUGAUAUUCAAUGUCACACCUUUUAAGAUUAGCGUACGACUUUUGUCUAUCCGAAGAAAUCUUUAGACGAUCCUUGAUAAUUUUUACCUUGUCCUCUGUUUGUUGCACAAUUUCAGGACCAACAAGCUUUCUUUCACCAACUUCACUCCAACAAAGAGGGGUCCGACAUUUCCUUCCGUACAAGGCUUCAUAGGGAGGCAUUCCAAUACUCGAUUGGUAACUGUUAUUGUAAGCAAAUUCUAUCAAAGCCAAGUGUUUUGUCCCCAACUACCCUCAAAUUCCAUAAUGCAAGCUCGAGGCAUAUCCUCCAAAAUUUGUAUCACUCUUUCCGACUGGCCGUCUUUCUGAGGAUGAAACGAAGUGCUAAAUUUCAACUUAGUUCCCAAAGCUUCCUGCAAGCUAUCCCAAAAUCUAGAUGUAAACCUUGGGUCUCAGUCAGAUACAAUAGACACAUGGAUCCCAUGUAGUCUUACAAUCUCAUUAAUGUACAACUCGGCUAAAUGCUCAAGUGAGUAAUCCAUUCUGAUUUCUAAGAAGUGAGCACUCUUGGUUAGCCUGUCCACAAUCACCCAUAUUGCAUCAUGAUUUCUCUGAGUGCGAGGAAGUCCAGAAACAAAGUCCAUAAUUAUUCUCUCCCAUUUCCAUUCCGGCAUCGACAACGACUGUAGUAAACCAACUGGGACUUGAUGUUCCGCCUUUACUUGUUGACAAACCAAACAUUUGGAAAUGAACUCCAUAAUGUCUCUCUUCAUACCAUUCCACCAAUAAUGUUCUUCGAUGGUCUGGUACAUCUUUGUACCUCCGGGAUGCAUUGCAUAUGGUGAAGUAUGUGUUUCAUUCAGUAUUUUUCUCCUCAAUUUGUCAUCAUUAGGGACGCAUAACCUGUUCUGAGAAAAUAUGACACCAUCCCCUGUUAAUGUAAAAUCAAGCUUUUCCCCAUUUUGAACUUUUUUGGUCAGGUUUACAAGUUUCUCAUCUAACUUUUGUGCUUCCUUCACCUGUUCAAGUAAUAUUGGCUUUACUUGCAAAUUAGCAAUAACUGAACCAUUUGAAUCAGGUGUAAAAUAAACAUUCAUGGCUCUUAAUUCAAGAAGCAAGGGUAAAGGACUCAAGGAAAUUCUUGCAACGGAUUUCUGACUUAAAGCAUCUGCAACCACAUUGGUUUUACCUGGAUGAUAAUCAAUCGUGCAGUCGUAAUCCUUGAUGAGUUCAAGCCAUCUACGUUGUCGAAGGUUUAGCUCCUUUUGAGUACCCAAGUACUUUAAGCUCUUGUGAUCAGUAAAUAUAUGACAUUUCUCUCCAUACAAAUAAUGCCGCCAUAUUUUUAAAGCAAACAUUAUAGCCGCAAGUUCUAGAUCAUGAGUAGGAUAAUUUAAUUCAUGCGGUUUUAAUUUCCGAGAGGCAUAAGAAAUAACCUUCCCUUUUUGCACCAAAACGCAUCCUAGACCAUUGUGAGAAGCAUCACUGUGUACUACAUACUCUUUCCCUUUAAUUGGUAGAGCAAGUAUAGGCGCUUGAGUCAACAAGGAUUUGAGAGUUUCAAAGCUCUCUUGGCAUUUGUCAUCCCAAAUAAACUUUACUUCCUUUUGCAAGAGCUUAGUCAAAGGGGAGGUGAUAAUGGAAAAGCCUUUCACAAAUCUUCGGUAGUAUCCUGCUAAGCCCAAGAAACUUCUUACCUCAAUUGGACUUUUGGGAGGUCUCCAUUCAACAAUUUCUUGUAUCUUACUAGGAUCCACCUUCACGCCUUCGGUUGAUACCACAUGUCCCAGAAAAGCCAAUUCAUCAAGCCAAAAUUCAUGGAAAGUUUAGCAUAAAGUUCUUUCUCCGGAAAUUUUUUCAAAACAAUCCGAAGGUGUCUAUCAUGGUCUUCACUACCGCAGGAGCAUUUGUCAAUCCGAAUGGCAUCACUAAAAAUUCAUAAUGACCAUACCGAGUUCUAAAAGCAGUUUUAGGAAUAUCUUUCUCUCUAACAUGCAGUUGGUGAUAUCCAGACCUUAAAUCAAUCUUUGAGAAUACUUUAGCACUCUUCAGUUGGUCAAACAAAUCAUCGAUCCUUGGUAGUGGAUAUUUAUUCUUGAUUAUUAUUAUGUUCAAUUGUCUAUAGUCAAUACAAAGCCUAAGAGUGCCAUCUUUCUUCUUUACGAAUAAAAUAGGGACUCCCCAAGGAGAAACACUAGGUCUAAUAAAACGCUUCUCAAGAAGUUCUUGCAAUUGAGAUUUAAAUUCUCUUAAUUCUGCUGGAGCCAUUCUAUAAGGAGUGAUAGAAAUAGGGGUAGAUCCAGGAAUAAGCUCGAUUGGAAAUUCAACCUCUCUUUCUGGGGGAAAUCCAGGAAGGUUUUCUGGGAAGACUUCUGGAAAAUCACAUACAACAGGUAUGCCCUUGAUACAAGGACUCUUCAACUGUGUAUCAACUACGUGACCACGGUAUGCCCUACAACCUUGACGCAUCAACUUUCUUGCCAAGGCCGCAGAAAUAAUACUAGAUGUCAAUGAUCUUUCACCUUGUACAAUUAUGUGUGAAAAUGUAUGAUCUUUAAAGGUCACAUGCUUUAACCUACAAUAUACCACUGCAUGAUAUUUAUAUAGCCAAUCCAUCCCGAUAAUACCAUCAAAAUCCUUGAAGGGCAUUUCAAUCAAAUCAGCAGGGAAGACUAGGUUUUGAAUCACGAAGGGACAAUCACAAUAAAUUUGAUUACACACAACCUGAUAACCCAAAGGACUUUCAACCAGUACAUCAUAAUUAAGUCUCAUAGAUUUCACAUUUUCAGGAAAACAAGUGAUGAACAAAUAUAGGAAUGCGUAGAACCAUGAUCAAACAAUGUAAACACACAUAAGCCAAAUAAAUAGAACCAGGAUCAUCUCUCUGCCUCAUAGCAUAAGCGCGUGCAGUAGCCCUUGGUCCACUAGCUUUAUUAGCUCCACUUUCACCUGUUGCUUGGGUGUUUUUAGGUCUUGCACCUAUAUUAGUUUGAGGAGGAUUAAUAGAAGACUUAUGAACUGAGCCUUCAUUUUUCAACGAAGGAGCAUUAUUAGGAUUAGGAUAGUCCUUCACUUUAUGAUCAAAGCUCCCACAAUUGAAACAUGCACCAGAAGCUCUCCUGCAAGUACCAUAAUGAUUCUUUCCAUAUUGCGGACAAGUGAGAACACGAGGCUUGCCUUGGCCAUAAUUUGGAGUGCUAGCUGUAGAAAAAUCUGAUAUGUUUUGCUUUUGUUGCGGUGGCUUGUUAUCACUACCAGCCUUAGAAUUAUCAAACCUUCCCCUUUUUGUAUGGACCCCAAAAAUCUGGUCUAGACUUUCGGAAUUUGUUUUCAUUUCUACUAGCUUCUUCUUUAUCAAGUCGUUCCCAAGUAAAAGCAGCAGACACUAACUUACAAAAGUUCUCAUGUUGCAGGAUCGCCACAUUCUUCCUAAUGGAAUCAUUUACUCCGUUUUCAAAUUUCAUGCACUUGUUUUUUUCCUCUUUAAUAAUACUUCCAGCAUAACGAGAGAGCCUUAGAAACUUCUGUUGGUACUCAGCAAUAGACAUGCCAAGUUGCCUUAAAUUCAAAAACUCCUUUCUCUUUGCAUCACAAUAAGCAGGUGGGACAUACUUCAUACAAAAUUCCUUAAGAAAAUCAUCCCAAGUGAGAACAUGAGGUUUUACCUUGGCAUUCAGAACACUUACCCACCAAUCAUAAGCAUUCUUUUGUAAUAGUGAAAUAGCAUACUUAAAUUUGGCAACAUCUGAACACUCCAACUGCUCAAACACCCUCUCCAUGCAGUCCAACCAUUGUUCAGAAUAAGUGGGAUCAACAGUGCCUUCAAAGUCCACACCACCCAUUUUCCUCAUUUUCUCAAAGUUAAUCCAGUUGGGAUCAUACAUCGAUUCAGCCAUGUGGUGGAAGAAUUCAGCCAUUUGUUGAAAAGGAGGAUUCACAACUUGAGUAACACGACUCAUGUGAGGAUGUGAACCAACUCUUACACCCUGAUUGUUUACCACUUCAAACCCACUAGUGUGGGGAAUAUAUUGGUUUGAGAAAUGUUCUCCAACCCCUUCCAGUGCAUGAGGUUGGGAAACAGAGGCACCUGAACCUUCACGAGCAGCUUCCGUAGGUCAGUCAGAAGAGGUGGCCAUAACUUAAUUCCUUGAAAAGGGAAGAUCACAUUGCAUUAGGGACAUGUACUUGAUACAUAUACACUCUACAAUAUUAUAAACCAUGUAAGUGAACAAAUAAUCUAUGUAGAACAUUUUUCGAAAGCGAACAAUUAUACAAGUAAUUCACAACAAAAGUCCUAGAACCACAAACCUAGGCUCUGAUACCAACACUUGUAGCGACCCUUUCGGAGGGAUACUACCACUUAAGGAGAAACCUAAUUUAAUACUUGCGACAUUUAAAAGAGAUUAACGAAGGGCAUAUUGAUUUUAAUCUAAUAGAGGGAUUAGGUUCAUAACUAAUAAUUUAGUUAAGGAUAUACAUCUUGCCCAUUUAAACAUUUACUUGAUGUUAAAAUUGACAUGGCGCGGAAUUUAACUUAUGACGGAAAAACCCUUCCAGAAUAAUUUAAGCAAAUAACUAACGAGAUUUUCAUGCAUAUAUUAUCCUCACACUUAAGGAUGAGAUAACAAGAAUAUUACCAACUUCCAAGUACCGAAAUCAAGCCGAUUCAUGCUUCGCACAAACAUCAAAAGUAAUAGUAAAUUUCGUAUAUUACAAGACUUGGGUUUACACACCCCAAAAGAACAAAACAUAUAGACAUACUUAUAUUACAACCCAUGGUGAAAUGAUCAAAUUAGUCCUCAAAUUUCAUGUAAAUAUACAACACAUAGAUCAUGUACAAGUCCCAAGGUUUAUAUAAAAUAUAGAUGCCUAUAUGCAAAUGUGAUCUUCCUUAAGGCUCUCAAAAUCUCCAUCUCCCAUGGCCAGCUUCAUUCAUCCUCUCGAACAUUCCCUAUGAUAGAAAUAACUAUCGCUAAGCAUAUANNNNNNNNNNNNNNNNNNNNNNNNNNNNNNNNNNNNNNNNNNNNNNNNNNNNNNNNNNNNNNNNNNNNNNNNNNNNNNNNNNNNNNNNNNNNNNNNNNNNNNNNNNNNNNNNNNNNNNNNNNNNNNNNNNNNNNNNNNNNNNNNNNNNNNNNNNNNNNNNNNNNNNNNNNNNNNNNNNNNNNNNNNNNGACAAAGUCACAUCCACAAGAAGGACAAGGUCCCAACAAGAGUACCAAGUGAUCAAAUAAUCCGUACAAGUGAAGGAGUUACCCAAGCGUCUUUAAUGUCUUAAAGGAUACCAACACGACAAUGCAAAGUGACAAGGGGUAACCAAGGUACCAAGAUAAACUUUCAGAUAUACCAGCAGUUAAAAGAGUGCAAGUACAAGUUUAUACACAAACCUCAGUGCUUUAGCAAAGAAACAGUCCAACACAACUUCGCUAGUUCAGACCGUAGACCAACCAACAUUUCAAGGUCCUCAACUUGUUCACGAGUAUAUACAACAUUUUGUUGGUCAUAAUGCUUGCAGGAUUAAAAAGUUGAAGCAAGAGUUGAAUAAGUCUUUUUCUAUGAAAGACUUGGGACCAGCAAGACAAAUUCUUAGCAUGCAGAUUGUCCAUUAUAGAGAGGCCAAGAAGAUAUGGUUGUCAUAGGAAAAGUACAUUCAGAAAGUACUUUGUAGAUUUAACAUGGACAAAGCUAAGGUUGUCAGUAAACCUUUAUCAAUGUAUUUCAAAUUGAGUACUAAGCAUUGUCUUUCCGGUAAUGGUGAGAAGGAAGAUAUGAAGAAAGUUCCUUAUGAUUCAGUUGUUGGUAGUUUGAUGUAUGAAAUGGUGUGUACAAGACCAAAUAUUGCUCAUAUUGUUGGUAUUGUUAGUUAUUUUCUAUCUAAUCCGGGAAGAGAAACUUGGAAUGCUGUGAAGUGGGCUAUGAGAUAUGUUUGUGGCACUUCUAGUUUGAGUUUGUGUUUUGGUACACGGAAGCCUAUUCUUUGUGGUUACACUGAUUUAGAUAUGGCCGGUGAUGUUGAUACUCGUAAGUCUACUUCAGGCUACUUGACUACUUUUCCAGGGGGAGCUGUGUCUUGGAAAUCUAGGUUGUAAAAAUAUGUUUCUUUAUCUACAACAGAGGUUGAGCUUGUUGUUGCUGUUGAAGCUUGCAAAGCGUUGAUCCGGAUGAAUAAAUUUUUGGGGUAACUUGGUUUGCUCAAGAGAUGUAUGUGCUUUGUUGCGACUGUCAAACUGCUAUUCAUCUUGACAAGAAUUUUGCAUUUCAUGGUCGGUAUAAAUAUAUUGAUGUGAGAUAUCAUUGGAUUCGAGAUGUGUUGGAUUCUAAGUUACUUGAACUUGAAAAUAUCCAUACCAAUGAUAAUGGUUCCGACACAAUGACUAAAGCUUUGCCAAGAGCAAAGUUUGAAGUAUGUUAUAUGAACACCGGGAUGGCGGUCUCCUCCACAUAGUCAGUAGGGGGAGAAUUGUUGGGUUUUGGGUCUUUUUCCCUUUCUAUGUGGAUAAAUAAAAGUCCAAGGUUUUGGAUCUCUUUUCUUUCCUUUGUGGAUGAAUUUAAGCUCAAUUUAGACUAGCUAGCUUUUGCCCAUAAGCCCAUUAUUAUUGUGCAUAUGUAAGACUUUCUUUUAGGUCUUAUUUUUGAAGAAACACACGAGUUUGAUCAGCAACCACACUAGAGAGAAAAGUGAGAGAGUGCAUAUUUGGACAGCUUGUUCCUUUCAACUUAAUAUUUGAUUGGGAAAUGAGAGAGGUUGAUUCGGAGUCCUGUAGAUCCAGAUUAUAGUUCAUGAACAGUAGCUGCAUUUUGGUGAUUUUGCUCCUUUUAUUUCUCUAGUUUUUGGUGCAAUCUUGUAGUUGUGUUGCUCAUUGUUUGGAACUUUGGGCCAUUUUAGAGAACACUUUUGUAACUCUUGUUUAUGUUAGUGGAGCUUUGGCCUUGUGGUUUUUACUCUUCACACCGAAGAGGUUUUACACGUUAAACUUGGUGUCUCAUGUGUUGAUUUAUUUUGCUUGCUUUGGUUGAUUUGUUUGCUUCCGAAACAAUUUUAUUCUUGCAUCAAUUUGUCUUCAAUUGGUUCAAAUAAAAGGGAAAGUUUUGAUUUGGGUUUUCUUUCGCUAUUGCCUUGUCGUACACAUUUAUUUGUGCUUGUCUUUCCCAACAGGAUCCUCUCGGCUCAAGUAAAGCACAUCAAGGCAAUUAAACUCGGAUUCAUGGGGAUUUCAGAAUAGAAACACAACAUCAAUGAAACUUGGAUAGAUAGAAUAGGUCUUAAAGAUGAUAAUUAAAUUACCUGAUUCACUGAGGUAGCGGAAAAUAAUGUAAUUGAGGAAGUCAGCGGCAUGUAUGAAACUUUAGGAUUAGAAUGGUGUUCGUUCCAAAAAGGCAUUUUAAAUGAAUGUUGAAUGACUAAACUACCCUUCACGCUCCAACAAUUUAUUUUUUUAAAAACUUUAAUCAGACAACGUUAUAACUUCAUUCGGUAAUUUUUUUAUUAUCAAGACCUAAGAGGCUAAAACAAUACAAUACCAUCUCUAGGGAGUCAUUUUGUUUUGCAUAUCUUGAGUUUCAAAUUUUCCUUACAUAAUUUUCUCUUCGAGACAUAUUUAAAUUUAAUUGAGAUGUUUAAUUAAAUUUGAUAGUAAAUCCCAACACAUUCAAUUUAAUGGAUUUGAAAUUCAUUAAUUAUAUUAUUUUAGUGGAUGAAGAGCAAACUAAUUCAAUUCAAAUGAAUCGAUAAAUUAAACAAAAAAAAAGUAGUUUGUGUCCUAUAUUUACACUAACUCAUAUAAAAUUACUAUAGUUAAGUAAAAAAUUAAGGUGAUAAUUUGAAUUAAUUAACUAUAAUUUAGUGAUACAAUGAAUAAUGAAAACACAUCUCAGUGUUUGUUAUAUUAAUGUAAACAUCAAAAGCGGAUAUAUUUUUAAUUACCUAAGCUAUAUACAAGAUUCUCCAAGGGUUGCGUAUUAAUCGGUUUAAUUAGGUAUUAAAGUUUAUCGGUUCAAUUUAUUAAUAAUCGAUUUGUAUAUAUGCUAAACUUUUAUAGAAUCAUUAAAAUUUCAAUUUAUCGGUUGUUGAUUAUUAUUGGUUUACCUGUUAAAAUUUCACAUUAAAAAAAUCAAUGGAAAGUACUUAUUAUAGAUAAGGUGGCAAACCAAAUGGACCAUAUUUCAUGUAUAUGAGUUGUUAGAUUAUAUCUUGCUAAAAACGAUAGAUAGAAUAAUCGAUUCGGGCCCAAUUAGAAUGGUAAGUGGGAAUUUUGGGAUAUAUGAACAUUAGGAUUAAAAUGGUGUUCAUUCCAAAAAGGUAUUUUGAAUGAAUUGUUGAAAGACUAAACUACCCUUCAGGCCCCAACAAAAUAUAUUUCUUUUUAAAACAUUAACAACUGGUUUAAACAAAUAUUAUGUUGCCAAGAGUUGAAUCGUUAAAUUUAUUUAAUCAUAUCUAGCUACAUUCUAUUACCAGUUGACACUAUUUUUAUUUUUUUUUAUAAAAGUUGCGACUUUUCUGAUAAGCCACAAUAAACGCAUAUUCAUACUACCCUUUGUGGGGUUUCCUCAUAUUUUAAAACACCCAAAUUAGUAUAUAUUUUAUAUUUUAUUUAUUUAUUUAUAUUAUAUUUAAAUUAGACAUCUUUUCAUAUUGAAGGGUUUUGACCUUUCUAAAGGGUUGUGACUUUUUCAUAGAGUUGUGACUUUUUCAAUGAGUUGCGACCUUUUCGAAUGGUUGUUUACUGAUAAAGCACAAUAAACACAUGUUCAUACUGCCAUUUGUUAGCUACAAAUGGAGGGGUUUCCUCAUAUUUUUAAACUACGAAUUUCUAAGUUUUCUAUUCUUUUCUUCUAAAAAACUCAAGUGUGAUUUACAGUUGUUGAGUGAGUUUUAAAGUUCAGUAAAACUUGAACACCCCCUUACUUAAAUAUUCAAUUACUACAAUACCCCCAACUAAAAACACUUAGUUUAGUAUAUCUUUUAUCUUUUAUAUUUAUAUUUAGUUAUAAUAUAUUAAAAGUAGAAACUCCAACAAUACAACAAUAACUAAGCAAUGAAUUAUAAGGUAAGGAAGAAAUAAUAUAUAUUUAAGAGGUGUAAUUAAGAUAUUUUAAGAAUGACUUUUGUAUAUUUACAUAUUACAACUAUUUUUAAAAUGAGAGAAAAGUCAAACAAAAAGAAGAAGAAGCAGAAGAAGAAGGAGAAGAAUAAGAAGAAGCAGAAGAAGAAGGUGAGGAAGAAGACAUGACCUUAUCUAAACUUUCAGUAUGCACACAAUUAGUAAUCAUAAGAAAAUUUACAUCCAUUAUUCGUAGGAACUUAUACUUUAUUAGUCCAUUUAUAAUCAUUUACUUAAUUUUUUUGUUCAAUAAUACUGACAUCAUUUUAAAAAACAGUGCACUACAUAGUUUGUAUUUAUGUGCAAUACACUAGUUAAAUAAUAUAAGUGCAUCAAAACUAGUUAAAUAAUAGAAGUGCCUUUCAACGUAAAUCUCUUAUGUUCAUUGGUUUGAUUUGAAUACACGGAAGUUUUUACCCCUAAAAACAACUAUCUGUCAAACUUUUAUUUUGUAGUUAAAAUGGUUAGUUUGAAUGUUAUUUUGUUUUUCCCCCUAAAAUAAUAGCUAGUCAAAGUUCAGUAUUAUUCUGAUCCUAUUCCCCCUAAUCCAAUCCAUCGAACACUAUUUAAAGGAAAAAAAUAAUUAAUUUAUGAUAUUUUAGCAAUGGGAUACACUUCAUUUGUAUAAUUAAUAACUACCUAUUAAUUCGGUCAUCCUAUCCGCUCUACCCCCACCCCCUAUAUACCCCACUCUCCUCACAAGUCUUUACCAAGUAAAUGCUAGGCCCUACCUCCCCCUACCACACCACAGAACAUAUCUACUUUAAUUUGUACAUUCUAUUGCUAGUAUCCUUCAUUCCUUCUAUCUCAUAAACUCGAUUGAUUUUAUUCAGUGGAAACAAUGAAGAAAAAAUCUAGCAAGAAUUCCUUCUACAUCUCUGAGUCUGUCUUUACCCAAAUUCAAAUCUAGCAAGAAUUCGAAUUGGGUAAAUCGAACCGAGCAAGUAGUUGAUUUGACACCUGUAUCGACAUCUAAACCUACUACUGUUAGAAUAUGCACAACGGAUGCUAUAUUCAGGAUCACAAAUCUUACAUAUAGACUAAACAAUAUAACAUAAACUAAUUUAGAAGAAGACUAACCUGUUGAAACUUCUACAAAAGUCGUCCAGAUGCCAAGGAUCCAGAACUACGAUCUUCUCCUAUUUCCUAAUUGACUGUUACUACCAAGUUACUUGUGUGGGCAAGUAUUACUUGUUUUUAAAAGCAUAAUCUCUUUCAUGCCACAUCCAGCCUAUUUAUACUAGUUUUCCAACUCAAGAAUGAAUAGGAAAAUCAAAUAAAUUUCAGCCUUAAUGAGCAAUCAAGAGGAUCAUUCAAAAUGAGAAUAAAUUGAGAUUAAUACAAAAACGUUUUCUAGAUAUAUUUAAUAGAGGCUUCCAAUUACGAUAAUAAUUCUCAAAUGAACGAAUUAACCAUAUCGCAAUAAAUUACAAAGUAUUCCACUAAAAUUCUGUAAUUGCACUCCUCAAUUUAAUUUCGAAAUCUACCACUACAUCUUAUUUAACCCCCCGUGUUAGAAUUACCGACACCAAUCAAUUAAAUCAAAAUUAUCUGAAAAUUUAAUUCAUUGACUAAAUUAAUCCUUUAUUAUAUUUACUUAACUUAUUUCACGUGACGGAUCUAAAAUCCACCUGCAGGGUUUUCACGUGAAAACUUAUAAGUAAUCAUAAAGGGGUGUCUUCAACUCGGGUCCGAGACACGGUUCUAUCAACUAAUUAUUAUUUCACUAAUGUAAUUUGUCAUUAUCUAAUCUAUUAGGAAUUUAUUGACUCAUCAAAAAGUCUCACCUUUUAAUAGAUUAAAACAAUAAAAUAAAUUACAUAGAUCAUAAUAAUUAUAUCAAGAUUGAGAGUAUAAAUACAUGUAGUGGACUAGAGAAUUUAUUUAUAAAUAUUCAGAACAUAAACAAAUGUCUCUAAUUGGUCCGUUCAAUACAUACAAAAUGUACUAGCACAAGAAGUUGAAUUUAACCAUUCUCAUAAUUAAGAUCAAAUUAUAUUUAAUCUUGUGCUACGAUCAUCAAGAUGUUCGUCCUACUUCAUCUUUGAUCGUGAACAUAAAUUUAUAACUUAUAUGCACCAACAAUUUUAAUCUUCCGUGUAUGAGUUAAAAUACUCCAUACACAAAAUUGUCUACUAUAUAAGCAAUGGACACACAUAUAUACAUAAUGAUCUAUUUAAACAAAAAUUUAUUAUAUUAAAUAAAUAAGAUAAAAAAUCUUUACAAGGGAUUAAAUAAAAAAUACUAUAACACAAUUACAUGGUUAAUAGUAUAUCCCAACAAUCUCCCACUUAGACUUAUAACCAUGCAUUCACAAUUUUAACACCCAUUUCUUCCACAUGCUUAUCAAAAGCCUUUUGAGGUAAGCCUUGUGUAAAUGGGUCCGCCAAAUUGUUCUUCGAUUCAAUCUUCAAUACUCUCACAUCACCCCUUUGAGUUAUAUCACGAAUCAAAUGAUAUUUCCUCUCGAUGUGCUUACUCCUUUUAUGGCUUCACGGUUCUUUCGAGUUAGCAACUGCACCACUGUUAUCACAAUAAAGUGUGAUUGGUGCUUCAACCGAAGGAACCACUCCAAGCUCUUUUAGGAAGUUUCCGAGCCAAACAGCCUCCUUAGCCGCUUCAGAGGCAGUUACAUAUUCAGCUUCCAUGGUGGAAUCAGCAACACAAGAUUGCUUGAUACUUCUCUAUAUUACGGUUCCACCUCCCAGAGUAAAUACAUAUCCGGAGGUUGACUUUCUUGAAUCUCUAUCUGACUGGAAAUCUGAAUCUGUAUACCCAAUAGGUACAACAUUUCCAGGAUGGAAAACAAGCAUGUAAUCUCUAGUCCUUUUCAGGUACUUGAUUAUAUGCUUAACUGCUGUCCAAUGUUCUUGCCCAGGAUUAGACUGGAAUCUACUAACCAUGCCAACAGCAAAGCAGAUAUCCGGUCUAGUACAUAACAUAGCAUACAUGAGACUCCCUACAACAGAUGCAUAAGAGACCACCUUCAUUCUCUCUAUCUCAUCAGUCAUUUUGGGUGACUGAUCAUUUGACAAAGUAAUUCCAUGUCUAAAAGGAAGAAAUCCCUUUUUGGAAUUUUGCAUGUUAAACCUUGCAAGAAUAGUAUCAAUGUAAAAAGCUUGAGACAAGCCUAAUAUCCUUUGUUUGCGAUCUCGCAUAAGCUUGAUCCCAAGGAUAUGAGUCGCUUCUCCCAAGUCUUUCAUAUCAAAACGCGAUGACAACCAUUCCUUAACUGAAUUCAACAUGCUCACAUUAUUUCCUAUGAGCAAAAUGUCAUCAACAUACAUAAUUAAAAUUGCUACUCUGUUUCCUUCCCAUUUUUUAUAGAUGCAUGAUUCAUUUUCAAAUUGAUCAAAAUCAAAAGUCUUAAUCGACUUAUCAAAACAAAUAUUCCAUGCUCUAGAUGCUUGCUUUAGUCCAUAAAUGGAUCUCUUAAGUUUUACACAACAUGUGUUCAUUGCCACUUUCUAUGAAACCUUCUGGUUGUGCCAUAUAGAUGCAUUCAUCAAGACUUUCGUUUAGAAAAGCCAUCUUGACAUCCAUUUGCCAAAUCUCAUAAUUGUAAUGAGCAGCAAUGGACAAGAGAAUCCUAAUGGAUUUAAGCAUAGCUACCGGUGAAAAAGUUUCCUCAUAAUCAAUUCCUUCUUUUUGUGUAAUUCCUUUCGCAACAAGCCUAGCCUUAAAAGUUUUCACUCUUCCAUCCACACCUCUCUUUUUCUUGAAGAUCCACUUACAACCAAUAGGUUUGACAUCAACAAGGGGUUCUACAAGAUCCCAGACUUGAUUAGAGUACAUACACUCCAUUUCAGAUUUCAUAGCAACAAUCCAUAUUUCAACUUCUUUAUCAUAUAUUGGUUCGGCGUAAUUCAAUGGUUCUAUAUUAAGCUCUUCAGGGAUUCUAUCAUAUGACUCUCCCAAGAGCGUAAACCUUUCAGGCUUUCUAAUAACUCUCCCACUACGACGAAUAGCCACUACAUGAUGUGCUACUUCUUGAACUAAAUUUUGAAUAUCCUGAACAUCCUGAACAUUUUCCUCCACAGCCGCAGGCUGCUAGACAUUGCUCCCACUACUUUGAGGUAGUGAAAUAUCUUGAGUUUGCUCUAGGGCAACCUCCGGCGCAGCCUCAGGUGCAAUUUCUUGUCUAUGGACAUGUGUCCCACUACGCGGUCGUAAAGGAAUGUCAACAACUGUGUAUGGAAUUUGUUCUGUCGAUUCAUUACUCGUUAUUCUUUUAGACAGUUCCUGUAACACAAGUUUACUUCUAGGAACAUGAUUCAUUAAAUAGUCCUGUUCUAGAAACUUGGCAUUUGUCGAUACAAUUACCUUUUGAUCCUUAGGACAGUAAAAUAAGCCUCCUUUAGUGCCUUUUGGAUAUCCAAUAAAUAUGCAUACUUCUGUUCUAGAUUCCAACUUAUCUGUUUUUCCUUUUAGCACAUGAGCUGGACAACCCCAAACUCGAAUAUGCCGUAGGCUAGGCUUUCGCCCAUUCCACAAUUCGAAUGGGGUUAAAGGUACAGAUUUUGAAAGAACCAAAUUCAGAAUAUAAUUCGCAGUUUCUAAGGCAUAUCCCCAAAAGCUAAAAGGUAAAUCAGAAUAACUUAACAUUGAUCUAACCAUUUCCAAAAGAGUUCUAUUUCUACGUUCUGCCACACCGUUUUGUUGAGGUGUUCCUGGGGCAGAAUAUUGAGAAGUAAUUCCUGAUUCUGAUAAGUACUUAAUGAAUUCUGCAGAAAGGUAUUCACCACCACGAUCAGAUCGUAAUGUUUGGAUAUGUUUAUCAUGUCGCUUUAGAUGUUCGUCCUACUUCAUCUUUGAUCGUGAACAUAAAUUUAUAACUUAUAUGCACCAACAAUUUUAAUCUUCCGUGUAUGAGUUAAAAUACUCCAUACACAAAAUUGUCUACUAUAUAAGCAAUGGACACACAUAUAUACAUAAUGAUCUAUUUAAACAAAAAUUUAUUAUAUUAAAUAAAUAACAUAAAAAAAGCUUUACAAGGGAUUAAAUAAAAUAUUCUAUAACAAAGGGAAAGGUCUCUUUGUCAUUUUACCUUCUAAACAAGAUUCACAGGUUGGUAGUGCCUCCACUUUCAAUGAACUCAAAGGUCCAUCUGUAACCAACCGUGAAAUCCUAUUUAUAUUAAUAUGACAUAAACGUAAGUGCCAUAAAUAAGUUGGACUCAAUUGAGAAAUAUGUUUUCUUUUAUUCGAAACAACAAUGUUAUUUAGUGCAGUUUGUUGAAGCAUGUUAUGGAAAAUUUUAAACACAAAUAAAUCAUGUAUUUUGGGAGCACUAAGGAUAAAAAAGUUAUUACACUUAAUAACAGCAGAGUUAUUCGCAAAGUGAACAUCAUAACCAUCAUCCAUUAGUUUAGAAACAGACAAUAAAUUCCUUCUUAUAGAAGGAACAUAUAAAACAUUAUUCAAAACUAAAAGUCUAGAACUACUAAAUGAAAACGAAAUUAUUCCAACAACUAAGGCUGGUGCUGGCUGCCCAUUCUCUUGAAAAACACUAACUUCAUCCUUAUUUAGCCGCCGCGUUUCCUGAAACCCCUGCAAAGAAGUGCAGAUAUGAUCAGUUGGCUCCCGAAUCUACAGCCCAUAAUUGGGUAGAAACAGCCGCUAAAUAGGUUUCAACGACAUUUAAAAAAGAGUUACCUUUUGUUUUUCAUCUUAGCCUGAAAGUCAGGGCAUUGCUUUUUUAUAGUGUCCAGGAUGCUUACAAUGAAAGCACUUUCCUUUCGGCUUAGCCACACCAUCCUUAGCACCUACGGGUGUCACAACCUUGCGGGGCUUUUUCUUUUUCUUCUAGAAUUUUGUUGGUUUUGAAGAGGACGGCCCAACCUGGUCAACCAGGAAUGCUGCAUGAGCUUGCUGCUUAAUUAUAGUCUCUGCCGCUUGCAGCUCAUUCAACAAUUUCGCUAAAGACAUAUCCAUCUUAUUCAUAUUGUAGUUCAAGCGAAACUGUUGAAAACUGUCCGGCAAAGUCUGAAGGAUCAUCUCAACUUGAGAUUCCUUAUCAAUCUCAGCACCAAGUAUCUCCAGCUCAUUCAAGUAUUUCAUCAACUUCAGCACAUGUUCUCUGACAUAAGAUCCUUCAGCCAUUUUUGUGGUCAAAAGGGCUUUCAUGGCAGUCUGCUUUGCAGCACGAUUCUGCUCACCAAACAUCUCCUUAAGAGAUGCAAGCACAUCAUAAGCAGAUGUCAUAAACUGAUGCUGAUGCUGCAAGACAUUCGCCAUUGAGGCAAGAAUGUAGCAUCUUGCCAUCUCAUCAGCCUUAACCCAUUUGUCAUAGGCUUGGACUUUCUCAUCAGUAAAAUCUGCUGAUUUGAUAGGACAUUCCUCAACCAAUACAAAUUUAUAACCCUCAGAAGUUAGGAAAAUAUCUAAAUUUCGUUUCCAAUCAACAUAGUUUGGACCCUCAAGUUUAUUUUGAUUCAAGAUUGAGGAUAGGGGAUUGAAGUGAGACAUAGUUAAUCUGAGAGAGAUAAAAUAGAUCAUUAAGCAUACAUGAUAUAUUAUUUUAAAAAAACACAACAAGACAAACAUAAUCAUGCGUAUAAACAGUUAGAUUCGAUUGGGAAACUUAACUAUGCAAGCAAAUAUAUGAGCAUGUUUAAAUAUAGUACCAAUUAAACAAAACAAGUCCAACUCAGUUAGAGAGUAUUCUGUUAAGUAUAAUAAGGUAUAUAUGGAUAUAGCUUAUGUCUCUUGUUCAUUGAUUCAACAUGUAACUUAGUUGGAAAGUGUAAAACAAGUCAACAAAACAAACGACUGUCACGACCCGAUUUCUCAAGUCAUGAUGGCACCNNNNNNNNNNNNNNNNNNNNNNNNNNNNNNNNNNNNNNNNNNNNNNNNNNNNNNNNNNNNNNNNNNNNNNNNNNNNNNNNNNNNNNNNNNNNNNNNNNNNAGGCAAGACACAGAAAUGACCAUGAGGGUCAUUACAACGACGUACCAAAAUAGUAUCAAAAUAUAAGAGUUUAUCCGAUGGGGAAGAGGACCUAAGUCAACAUAUAAACUUAUAUUUACUGUAAAAUACAUUUAUAAGUUUUAGGGAUGAACCCUUACGCCACUGGAUUACUAAAAAUAAUUUUUAAUUUAUUUUUUAAUGUUUCGUAAACAGAAAAUUGGCCAAAAACCCAUCAAAACGACUCCGAAUGGCCAAAAAAGGACCUUGAUCACAGAAUUCUGUUCGUAUUGCUCACUGGUCCGUUUUCAAUUGACCAACCAAAUUUGAGGCCAAUCGGAGUUCGUCAGAAAAAAAAAA